UCCAAUCAAGUCUUGUCAAUAUCAAUGUAACUUGGGUGUCGAUAAGGUGUAAACCAUAAUCCACCAAAAUGGAUGAUUGAUAUUGACAAUGACUUGAUUCAUCCCUUGAACUUUGUUUGCCUUGUGUGUGAUCCCUUAUUUGUGAUUGUUGCAUUCAUGCAUUCAUGCGCAUCAUAACAUUCAUCACACGAAAAUUUCAAGGAAUUGAGGUAUUAUUUGCAAAUAUUUUCAGACCAUGUUCCCUUAUUUGUGAUUGUUGCAUUCAUGCAUUCAUGCGCAUCAUAACAUUCAUCACACGAAAAUUUCAAGGAAUUGAGGUAUUAUUUGCAAAUAUUUUCAGACCAUGGAUUGUGGACGAAGGAACACUAAAAAGUACAGUUUUAGAUGUUCUGACUUGAAAGAGUUAAGGAAGCUAGCAUAUUUUGUAUUAGAUCCCUUAGACUUCAAACAACGUCAUGGGAAGCUUUUGUCCAUCUUGUCUGCUGAUAUGGUUGAAGGACUUUUGAGUGUGCUAGUGCAGUUCUAUGAUCCUCUCUACCGUUGUUUCACUUUCCCAGAUUUUCAGCAUGUGCCUACCUUGGAGGAGUAUGCCCAUCUCUUGGGAAUACCUGUUUCUGACAAAGUACCUUUUAGUGGAUUGGAGGAGAUUCCCCGAUCUAGUAUUAUUGCUAAAGCUCUUCACUUGAAGAAGUCUGAGAUAGAGGCUCAUUGGGUGAAGAAAGGAGGAUUGUUUGGGUUGCCAUGUGAUUUCCUCAUCAAGGAAGCUACUUCUUUUGCUCAAGCUGGUAGUGUGGAUGCUUUUGAAGCUAUCUUUGUGUUGCUCAUUUAUGGAUUAGCUUUGUUCCCUAACAUUGACGGUUUAUUGAUGUUAACGCCAUUAGACUUUUCUUGAUUGGGAAUCAUAUGCCCACUUUGUUGGGUGAUAUAUAUUUCUCUUUGCAUCUAAGGAAUUAUAAGGGUGGUGUAACUAUUGUCUGUUGCAUUCCUCUUCUGUACAAGUGGUUUAUUUCGCACUUGCCUCAGACACCUGCUUUUGUGGAGAACAAACAAUGUCUACGGUGGUCUCAAAGACUUAUGUCUCUCACUAAUGAUGAUUCUCUUCUGUACAAGUGGUUUAUUUCGCACUUGCCUCAGACACCUGCUUUUGUGGAGAACAAACAAUGUCUACGGUGGUCUCAAAGACUUAUGUCUCUCACUAAUGAUGAUAUAGUUUGGUAUGAUCCGUCUUUGAGCGGUUUAGAGAUUGUUGAUAGUUGUGGUGAAUUCUCUAAUGUGCAUCUCAUUGGUACACAAGGAGGAAUUAACUAUAACCCUGCUUUGGCUCGUCGUCAGCUUGGGUUCCCCUUGAGAGACAAACCUAAUAACACUUUGUUAGAAGGUCUUUUCUAUCAAGAGGGUAAAGACCCCCAACAUUUGAAGCAGAAGAUUGUACAUGAUUGACGUAAUAUGCAUAGGAAAGGAAGAUCCGAGCUUGGUUUGCGCAAUUGUGUAGCUUUAGAAGCUUACACUCUUUGGGUGAAGAAGAGAGCUUUGGAGUUGAAGAUGCCUUAUCCUUGUGAAAGACCUAUGUCUAUGGUUGUGGUUGAGCCAUUAACUCUCCCUAACCAAGAUGUAGAGGAGUUGGUUUUGGGUGAAGAAGAGAGCUUUGGAGUUGAAGAUGCCUUAUCCUUGUGAAAGACCUAUGUCUAUGGUUGUGGUUGAGCCAUUAACUCUCCCUAACCAAGAUGUAGAGGAGUUGGAAGACGCGCUCGUCAAUAUGAAGCAAGAGAAAGAUAUGUGGGAAGAGCGUUUUCGUGCUUUGAGCAAGAAGCACGAAGAGUUGCAGUUGGAGUCUAAGGAUAAAGAUGCACUUAUUGAGCUACUUGAAGACCGAGUGACAAAGAGACAGAGAGAGCCAAAGGUUUCAUAUUCUAGCAUGUCUCAGCCUUCCGUUUCCUGGAAGAAGAUUGUUGAUCAGCUUGUCCUCGAGAAGACUCAAAUGAAGGCUUCUAUUGAGACCGAGAUUCGACGCAUUCGAAGAAAGUAUGCGCCUUCGGCCAAAUCUUCUGACAUCAUUGUUAGGGAUCCUUAGGAUGACUAGUCUCCUUUCCUCUUGUAUUUUUCAUUGGGUACAAGCCUGAGCUCCGUUGUGCUUUUCAUCAAGGAGCACCCGGACAUGAUAUCGAGAACUGUUAUCCACUCAAGUAUGAGGUUCAAAAGCUGAUGAAGAGUGGAAUGGUGUCCUUCGAGGACCAUGCGCCAAAUGUGAAAGCAAAUUCGUUGCCCGCUCAUGGGAACUCUUCUGUGAACAUGGUGGAUCGGUGUCCUGGCGAGUUUAAGGUUUUUGGUGUGCGCUUUAUUCGAAGAUCCUUGGCACAGAUGCAUAAGGAUGUCUGUUUGGUGAGUGAUUGUGAACAUGACCAUGGCGGUUGUGUUAUUUGUAGUGUCAACCCAAGGGGUUGUGAAGUUGUGAAAAGGGACAUCCAACGGCUGAUGGAUGAAGGCAUGAUUCAAAUUGUUCAAUCUCGUCAUAUAGAUGACGAUGUGAAUGUCAUAGUGCCCAUUUUCAAGCAGCCAGAGAGAUUGGUAAUCCAGUAUGAUAGCAACAACCGUAACAAUGUCAGCAAUAGAUCAGUAUUGUCGUUGGUAAUACGGUUAGCGGGCCCAGUCCCGUAUUUAUCUGAUAAAGUUGUUCUGUAUCAGUAUAAUGCUACAAUGACAGAAGGUGGUCUAGAGGUCCCGUUGCCUAUGACUAGCUAUAUGGUGAGCAUUGUUGAUGUUAUCAAGGUGACCACAAUGGUUGUGUGUUUGGGCCGGUGUUCCCAAAGAAUAAGGAAAAAUCAAUUGUGAGUAAGAAGGUGGAAGUGCUUGUUGAAUAUCCAGUUGGUGUUUCAAAGGGUAAGUCUGGUGAAUCCAUCAAUUUGAAGGCUAACAAUGAUGAUGAGGUACUUCGGUUAAUCAAGAGGAGUGAGUUUAAUGUGGUGGAACAGUUGCUCCAAACCCCCUCAAAAAUCUCAGUGUUGUCUCUGCUCAUGAAUUCUGAAGCGCACAGAGAAGCACUGCAGAGAGUUUUGGAAUAAGCAUUUGUAAAACAUGAUGUUAUAGUGGAUCAAUUUGAUCAUAUUAUGUCUAACAUCACUUCCUGUAAUAAUCUUAGCUUCUGUGAUGAAGAGCUCCCUGAGGAGGGAAGAAACCAUAAUCUGGCUUUGCACAUUUCUAUGAAUUGCAAAGAGGAUGCUUUGUCAAAUGUGCUUGUUGACCCUGGAUCGUCAGUGAAUGUGUUGCCGAAGUUAACUCUGUCAAAGCUAUCAUAUGAAGGAGUGCCUAUGAGGUAUAAUGGUGUAAUCGUCAAGGCCUUUGACGGUUCGCGCAAAACGGUUAUUGGUGAAGUGGACCUUCCAGUUAAGAUAUGUCCAAGUGAUUUUCAGAUUACUUUUCAAGUAAUAGAUAUCCACCCGGCCUACAGUUGCUUGUUGGGAAGGCCAUGGAUCCAUGAGGAAGGAGUUGUUACCUCCACUUUGCACCCGAAACUCAAAUUUGUGAAGAAUGGCAAGCUUGUGAUUGUCGGUGGAGAGAAGGCGUUAUUGGUUAGUCACCUGUCGUCUUUCUCUUAUGUUGAAGCUAAGGAUGAGGUUGGAACUCUGUUCUAGGCCUUAUCUAUUACUGCUGAAAAGAGAGUUAGGGCACAUAUGUCCUUAUUGAAAGAUUCUAAGAAGAUUGUGGAAGAAGGCAAUGCUGAUCAGUGAGGGCGCAUGGUAGAGGUCUCUGACAACAAAGGCAGAACCGGUUUGGGGUUUCAGAAAGGUUCAUCAACUGCAAGGACUGAAGAUAUGCAACUUAGCUUUCGUAGCGGAGGGUUCAUUCAUGGCAAUGAACAACACUUAGUUGUUAUGCUAGAAGAUGACGAAGAGGAAGACUGCACCAAUUUUGUGACGCAUGGAAAGGCCUUCAACAAUUGGACUGUUGUUGAUAUUCCUGUUAUUUUGCAUCGAUCUAAGUAAUUACUUUUAUAUGUUUUUAAAAUCCUUCUCCUAUGCCUAAGGGAGAAGUGAACAUUGUUUGGGAAUUUCCAAAUUGAUCAUUAUUAAAAUUAAUUCUAUUCAUCCACAUCUAUGAUGUUUUAUUUUUACUUUUUGCUUUAUUCUGAAAAUGUUAAUCACAAAAAAAAACAUAAAUAAACAAUAUAAUUGUCCAUCUGCAUAAUAUUUGGCCAUAAAUCCACUUCUCUAAAAUCAAAAUAUCAAAUCAUUAUGCAGGUUGGUUCCUAACCCCAUUGAAUACAAUGAUCCUUCUCCUUCUCCAAAUUUUAAAUUCCAUGUGUUUGAAGCCGAGGAGGAAAGUGAUGUAGAAGUGAGUGAUGAGUUAUCUCGUCUUCUUGAGCAAGAUGAAAAGACCAUUUAGCCGUUCGAAGAGCAGAUUGAGCUAGUCAACUUGGGUUCCGAGGAUGAUGUGAAGGAAGUCAAGAUUGGGUCUCGCCUGUGUCCAGAUGUCAAGAAGGGGUUGAUUGAUCUUCUUCGACUCAUAAGUCUACACAAACGAACCAGGAUAGUAGACAUGCCUGGUUUGGAUUCUGAGAUUGUGGAGCAUAGAUUGUCGUUGAAGCCAGAAUGCCCGCCAGUCAAGCAGAAGUUGAGAAGAAUGCAUCUUGAUAUUGUUGUGAAGACUAAAGAGGAAGUGCAGAAACAAAUUGAUGUCGGUUUCCUUGUGACCACUGAGUAUCCGCAAUGGGUGGCCAAUAUUGUGCCUGUGCCGAAGAAAGAUGGAAAAGUCCGCAUGUGUGUUGAUUACAGAGAUUUGAAUAAAGCCAGUCCGAAAGAUGAUUUCCCUCUACUAUACAUUGAUAUGUUCAUAGAAAAUACUGCUAAAUUCAAGGUCUUUUCGUUUAUGGAUGGAUUUUCUGAAUAUAAUCAGAUCAAGAUGGCACCCGAAGAUAUGGAGAAGACCACAUUCAUUACACCUUGGGGAACAUUCUGUUAUAGAGUGAUGCCUUUCGGUUUGAAGAAUGCUGGUGCAACUUACUAAAGAGCAAUGACUACUCUUUUUCAUGAUAUGAUGCGUAAAGAGAUUGAAGUUUAUGUCGAUGACAUGAUUGCCAAAUCGAUUGAUGAAUAGGAACAAGUUGAGCAUUUUUUGAAGUUAUUCUAGCGUUUGAGGAAAUAUAAACUCCGCUUGAAUCCCAAUAAGUGUACCUUUGGUGUUCGUUCUAGUAAGUUGUUGGGCUUUAUUGUCAGCGAGAAGGGUAUUGAAGUUGAUCCUGCCAAGGUCAAAGCAAUACAAGAGAUGCAUGCGCCCAUAACUGAGAAGCAAGUCAGAGGUUUUCUCGACCGCUUGAAUUAUAUUUCCAGAUUCAUUUCCCACAUGACUGCCACAUGUGCGCCUAUAUUCAAGCUUCUUCGGAAAGAUCAGUCUGGUGAUUGGAUCGAAGACUGCCAGAAAGCAUUUGACAGUAUCAAGGAAUAUCUGCUUGAACCUCCGAUUUUGUCUCUGCCUGUGGAAGAAAGACCAUUGAUCAUGUAUUUGACUAUGCUUGAAGAUAGUAUGAGUUGUGUUCUAGGUUACCAAGAUGAGACUGGAAAGAAAGAAUUUGCAAUCUACUACCUCAGUAAGAAGUUCAUCGACUGGGAGACUCGGUAUUCUAUGCUUGAGAAAACUUGUUGCGCAUUGGCUUGGGCUGCUAAGCAUUUGCGUUAGUAUAUGUUAAAUCAUACCACUUGGUUGAUAUCCAAAAUGGAUCUGAUCAAGUAUAUAUUUUAGAUGCCUGCUUUAACUGGGAGGAUUGCUUGUUGGCAGAUGUUGUUAUCAGAGUAUGAUGUCGAAUACCGAUCUCAGAAAGCGAUCAAAGGUAGUAUCUUGGCUGACCAUUUGGCUCACCAACCGAUUGAAUAUUACCAGUCAGUGCAGUAUGACUUUCCUGAUGAAGAGAUUUUGUACUUGAAAAUGAAAGAUUGUGAUGAACCAUUGCUUGAAGAAGGGUCAGAACCUGGUUUCCGUUGGGGCAUGGUAUUAGAAGGAGUUGUUAAUCAAUAUGGAAAUGGCAUUGGGGCAGUGAUCAUUACUCCUCAAGGCACGCAUAUACCAUUUACAGCUAGAUUGACUUUAAAGUGUACGAACAACAUGGCAAAAUAUGAAGCUUGCACUAUGGCGCUUAAAGAGGCCAUGAAUCUCAAAAUCAAGUAUUUAGAUGUCUUCGGCGACUCAACUUUGGUUGUGAAUCAGAUCAAAGGAGAAUGGGAGACAAAUCAACCCGGUUUAAUACCAUAUAGAGAUUAUGCGAGGAGGAUUUCAACUUUCUUUACAAAGGUUGAGUUUCAUCAUAUUCCUCGAGAUGAGAACUGGAUGGCAGAUGCUCUUGCAACGUUGGCGUCAAUGAUUGUGGUAAAGUAUUGGAAUGAAGUUCCCAAUUUGUCUGUGAUGCGUCUUGAUAGGCCAACUCAUGUGUUUGUUGUUGAAGAGAUCAAAGAUGAGAAGUCGUGGUAUUACGACAUCGAAUGUUUCCUCCAAAGUUAAAUUUACCCGCCUGGGGCAUCUUUAAAAGAUAAGAAGACUUUGAGAAGAUUAGCCGAUAAUUUCUACUUGAAUGGUGAUAUACUGUACAAGAGAAACUUCGACAUGGUUUUGCUCAGAUGCGUGGAUAGACACGAAGCAGACCUGUUGAUGACUGGAGUGCAUGAAGGUUCCUUUGAUACUCAUUCCAAUGGACAUGCAAUGUCAAAGAAGAUGUUGCGAGCAGGUUACUAUUGGCUGACAGUGGAAUCAGAUUGUUGCAAGUUUGUGAAGAAGUGCCACAAGUGUCAAAUAUAUGCUGAUAAGAUUCAUGUUCCUCCGACGCUUUUGAAUGUUAUUUCUUCCCCAUGGCCUUUCUCCAUGUGGGGAAUUGAUAUGAUUGGGAUGAUUGAGCCCAAAGCAUCAAAUGGACAUCAUUUCAUUUUGGUGGCAAUUGACUACUUCACAAAAUGGGUUGAAGCGGCAUCAUAUGCUAAUGUAACCAAGUAAGUUGUUGUGAGGUUUAUUAAGAAUCAGAUCAUAUGCCGUUAUGGUGUGCCAAGUAAGAUCAUUACAGAUAAUGGAUCGAACUUGAAUAACAAUAUGGUGGAAGCUCUUUGCAAAGAUUUUAAGAUUGCACAUCAUAACUCUUCUCCCUACAGAUCUAAGAUGAAUGGGGUUGUUGAAGCUGCAAACAAAAACAUUAAGAAGAUUAUUCAGAAGAUGGUUGUCACGUAUAAGGAUUGGCAUGAGAUGCCCCCGUUUGCUUUGCAUGGGUAUUGUACAUCCGUUCUCACUUCAACAGGGGCAACCCCUUUCUCUCUUGUGUAUGGUAUGGAAGUUAUGCUCCGUGUAGAGGUUGAGAUUCCUUCAUUACGUGUGCUCAUGGAAGCCAAGUUAACUGAGGCUGAAUGGUGUCAGACCAGGUAUGACCAGCUGAAUUUGAUUGAAGAGAAGAGAUUGACUGCCAUGUGUCAUGGUCAGUUAUAUCAGUAGAGGAUGAAGAAAGCUUUUGAUAAGAAGGCCAGACCUUGCGUAUUCAGAGAAGGCGGCCUUGUGGUCAAGAAGUUCUUGUCAUUCAAACCAGAAUCUAGGGGGAAAUGGACUCCUAAUUAUGUAGGCCUGUAUGUUGUUAUGAGAGCCUUUUCAGGUGGUGCUUUGAUUCUUACAACUAUGGAUGGUGAAGAGUUCACUCGUCCUGUGAACGCAGAUGCGGUAAGGAAAUACUUCGCCUAAAAAGAAAAGAACAACUCGCUAAGCUGAAAACCCGAAAGGGCGACUUAGGCAAAAAAAGAGCGUCUCAAUGGAUUGAAAACCUGAAAGGGCGAUCCAGGCAAAAAUUAGAGACAUAAAAACAGAAAAAAGAAUUUCUCGAUAAGUUGAGUACCCCACCUUGGGGCAGCUUAUGCAAAAAUUAGGGAUUAUGGCAAGUAACUGCAGCCUACUGAUCAUCCAAUUUUGGAAAGACCUUAGUUGAGCAUAAGGUUGAUCUCAAUUCAUCAUCCCAUCAGCGGUCAAGAGCAUAGUGGAUAUGAAGAAUUGGUCGAAGGAUUAAGGAUCAUUUGUAUUCAAUGUAACCCUUUUCCAUGUAAAUUACCAUUUUCAACUUUGUAAAAAUCUAUGGAGUCUUGUCAUUUACAGACUACCAUCCCAUUAAAUAAAGUUGAGCUUUUUGGAUCAUUUGUAUUCAAUGUAACCCUUUUCCAUGUAAAUUACCAUUUUCAACUUUGUAAAAAUCUAUGGAGUCUUGUCAUUUACAGACUACCAUCCCAUUAAAUAAAGUUGAGCUUUUGUCCAAAUUAUUUCUACUCUUAUUUACUUCAGCCAAUAGUUUAAAUUUUAUUAUGAUCAUUUUGGAAAUUUAAAACUUUUAAUCAAAAUCUCUUUUUCUUAAAACAUAUAAAAACAAGAAAUUUUCAAACCAAAUUAAAAAGGAAGUACCAACAGCACUUCAAAGAGUAGCAAGUCCUUAAGUGCUAAGCAUCAGAGGUUCCCCAAGCAGUUAACCCUUCGGGUGUUCCUAGUUGUUUGUGUUGAUCUGUUUCCCCUGCGAAGUGUUUGUUCCCUAGCGGAGUUUUGAUUCUUUUCCCCAGCUAAGUUGGUUAAUUCAGUACCUUACAACAUGUUAUUUCCCCGCCAGUGUUUCUGUAUCCCCCAACGGUAUUCACGUUUAUUCAGCAGGGUUAAUCUUCAGCGGAGUAAGAUGUUUUCCCCAGUAGAUUACAUUGGUUUCCCCACUAGUCGCCAUCUGACUCGCUCCCAGUCAGAGUUUCCUCCUGAUUUCUGAGCAGCUGUUUUGUGUUUAUCUUCUGUAUGAUUGUCUGCCAUUUAAUAUGGCGUAGACCUAAAGUUCCUUGCAGACUCGAUAACGUCGCCUCUCUUCAACAGAUCUCUUCCCUCGGAUAGUUUUGAGCCUUUGGCUUGUUGAUUUCUCUGUUCUCCAGCAGUUGUCUCCCUUUUUUUGUGGAUUGACCGAGGAUUAUACCGAUGAUUCAAAUUCUUUGCGACACCUUUGUAUCCUUUGUGAUCGUUUUGUCAGCAUAAUAAUUAUAUAUACAUAUACAUAUACAUUUAUAUACUUUCAUAAUUACACCAUUAUAUUUGAUUGAUUUGUCUAUUUGAGAUUCUCAUUCUCUGUAUGGCGGUACUUUAUCCCCAUACAAGUUCGGUGUCUGUCCUCCCUCAGUUGUAGAGUGUUAACCCCUUAGGCAUAAAGACUUUAACCUUUCUCCUCUUCCCCACUGAGUUGUCUCCUAGUGGAUGAUUAUUAAUUCAGUUUCCUCCCCAGUUGUUUAUCUGGAUGGAAUCAAUCCUCUUAAGUUAUGUCCUCAUCGGGUUGAGUCUUGGUUGACUGUUUCCUUAUAGCUCUUACCUAGAUAGAUGCUUUGAGUCUCCUAAGAGCUUAUUACCCAGUAACUGGUAAUAUUCUUGUUAGUUUGCAGUUUGUUACUUCUUACCCAAUACCUGGAAAAAAUACCCCCCGUUUUCCCAGCAGUGGAAUUCCUAGUGGAUUCAUUUGUUUAUGAUUCCCCAAAAAGUAUAUCCUUGAUAUGUUCACCCUAACCAGUGACGGAUAUCUUUCUUUCCCCUGCCUGAGUCUAUCCUUGAUGUGUUCAUCCUAACCGAUGACGAAUAUUCCCGUCCUUGGUAUUCUACCCAGUAAAAAGGUAGUUGUAAUCCCUAUUCUUGUUCCCCAGAGAGUUAAUACUUGAUAUGUUCAUCAUAACUGAUGACGGGUUUCCUUCUCUUUGCGGUCUUCUACCUAAUAACUGGUAGUUGUAAAUCCUGCUUUUGUCCCUUUCGCAGAGUUAAUCCUUGAUAUGUUCAUCUUAACCGGUGACAAAUUUUCUCUUUGAUGGUAUUCUAUCCAGUAACUGAUAGAUGUAAUUCCUAUUUUCUUCCCUCUCAGAGUCUAUCCUUGAUAUGUGCAUCUUAACCGGAGACGGAUUCUCUCUUUGAUGAUCUUCUAUCCAACAUUCGAUAGAUGUAAUUCCUAUUUUUUGUUCAGUUGGUUUAUCCUUGAUAUGUUCAUCUUAACCGAUGACGGGUAUCCUCCUUGACAAUCCCAGGCAAGUUUAUCCUUGAUAUGUUCAUCUUAAUCGAUGACAGAUCUUCUUCCCUGUCGAGUCUAUCCUUGAUAUGUUCAUCUUAACCGAUGAUAGAUAUUCUCACCUUUGGUCUUCUGCCCAGUAACCGGUAGUUGUAAAUCCUAUUUUCUGUAGUUUUCCCCAGCAAUGCUGUUCUUACCCAGUAACCGGUAAUGAAUACUCCCUCCUGGAUUUUCUCAGUGAGUCAUCCUUGAUAUGUUCAUCCUAACCGAUGACGGAUGUCCUCUCUGUCAGAUCUUUAUUAUCUCCUUACCCCAGUAAUAGGUAGUAGAUAAUAGAUUUCUAUUCCUCCUAUGUUGAAGUUUAUUUCUUCCCCAGUCGAGUUGAGUGUGCAUUUCCUUAGUGAAAUUGUUUUUCCUGCAUGAUUCAAGUAUUUCAGUUUUAUCCUAACUUACUCGUAUCCCCUGCAGAUGUUGUUGUUCCCCAGUUGAGUCUUUCCAUUUUGUAUGGAAUUCCUCGAGUCCCCCAGUAGUUUUAAGUAGUAGCCUGGCCUACACAUAACCUCAUUUAUUCCCCCUAGAGGCUCUAUCUCCCUAGUGAGUUUUCCUUACGGAAUACAUUAUACUCCUGCGGACUUUCGGUCUCUCUAAUUUCUUUUCCUUUGUAGCAAUAUUUCCCCAUAAAGAAUUUACUUUUGCAUUCAUAUCAUAUGCAUCAUGAGGUCUCUUAGGGACCAAAAUUUGUUUCUAUAUGUUGUUAUUUAAGCCCAUUCUACUGAGUCGACAUGAAGAUUUUAACCUUCGCCUCCUCAUCAUGAGGUCUCUUAGGGACCAAAAUUUGUUUCUAUAUGUUGUUAUUUAAGCCCAUUCUACUGAGUCGACAUGAAGAUUUUAACCUUCGCCUCCUCAAUUAGAAUGUCCUUAAAUAGGGGCAGCUGUAAGACCCCGAUUUUGACCCUAAGAUCCCUCAUGCAAUUUCAUCAUAAGCAUUAGCAUUAGGAUCAUAUCUUGGCAUCCUCCUUGCCCCUCUUUCAUUGGGUUUAUUUUGGGAGAUAUCACCAAGCACUAUGUGAUUGUAUCACACUUGUAUAUCAUCAUUUACUAACCAAAAUACAAAAAUAUGCCUUUGCAUUUACCUAACUCUUUUGUAGGUAGGGCAUGAUCUCCAUUGAUCUAUCAAGUUCAUAUGUAGGGUUUGAGACCCUCAUGACAAAGAGCACAACCAUGAAUUGAUCCAAGAAUGGUUAUGAGCAUCAUAUAUGAGUUCCAUGGAUUACUACAUGUUAUAUUGAUCAAAUUUUCUUCAAGAGUUUGAGGGUGAUUUGCCUUGGAAACCCUGGUUUGACUGGGUAUCUUGAGUAACUUCUCCAACAAGCUAUCUUACCAAUUGAUCAAAUUUCUUAAGGGACACUUCAAAAUUCAUCAUCUUAUGCAUAUAUGAUCUACCAUGAGCCAAGAAAGUCAAAAUAAUUGAAGGUUAGCAAGUUGGUUGAUGGUGGUUGGCCAGAUGAAUUCAUCUGAUCAAAACUUCAAGAAAGUCAAAAUAAUUGAAGGUUAGCAAGUUGGUUGAUGGUGGUUGGCCAGAUGAAUUCAUCUGAUCAAAACUGGGUCUCCCUAGACCCUAUCUCCUACAAUUUUCACCAUAUGAAAAUGAUUCUAAGCGCAAAGUUACUCUAAACGACAUUCAAAACAACUUUCAUGUUGAGACCUAGAUCUAGUUUUACUUGGAAAAUCAUUUUCGAUGUUAAAACAUUAUAGGUCAUUUUGUCUAAACCCUAAUUUGAAAGUCAACUUCCCAAGACCAUAACUUGCUCAAUUUUUAUGAGAUGAAAUAUUUAAAAGUUGCACAAUCAAAUUCAAGAUGUCUAAUUCAGCUUUGAUGUUUGGAGUGAGAGCUAAUUCAACUUUUAUGAUCAUGUGAUAUGAGGUUACAUUAUAGGUCAUUUUUGACCUAUACCUUUGAACAAGUGAUUCUUCCAAACUUCAAAAAUACAUAACUCUAUCAUUCCAAAUCCAAAUAACAUGAAAUUAGUAAUAAUUUUGAAUGUCUUUGAAAUAUCUACAACUUUGAUGAAGACACAUUUCUCAUUUGAAGCUCACAUAAAACGUUAAGCAAGGUGGAAUAUUGAGAUAUAUGGCUUGACACUUAGAAAAAAUUUCAACAUGUUGAAAUUUCCAAACUUCCACCUCAAAAUUCUCCAUGUUCCAAGCUCCAAGUGAAAAAGUGUUGAACAUAAAACUUGUUCCCCUUGAUCUAAUCUUUCCAAAGAACCCAAGUUCAUGCAUUUUGGAUGAGGUUUGCUAGGUUUGCGCAUGGCUUUAACAGGGUUGCAUAAUUGGAAAGAAUCAAACUUCAAAACUUCAAUUCACUUUGCCUUGUCAAUUAAUCUUCCAUUCAGACUUCAUUUAGAAUGAUUUUGGACCUUUUUGCAUUGCAUCAUGGUCCUGCACAUGCCCAUGCACUCGUUCCAUCAACAUUGCUAAAAUUGGACAAAAUUUGAAGUGUGCAAAUAUCAUUCAUUCAUGCUAUAAAUACAUGCUCUCUAUGCUCAUUUGAAUCACACCUUGCGCGCCAGCUUUGCCCCCCAUUGAAACCUUCUCAUUCCAAAGGAAAACUUGAUAAAUUUCAACUUGAAAUUUGAGUUUGAAUCUCAAGUGUUGGAGAUUCAGAAAAUUCCAGGAUCCAAAGCCUUGCAACCUCUCUAAUCACUUCCUACUAGCUUCUCAAGUGUGAUCAGAUCGUGUUUGGAGAAAGCAACAUCAAGAAUUGCAUAUCAUUGAAGGUAAUUUUCAGAAAACUUCAUCUCUUCUAUUCUCUCUCAAUUCUACUCAAUUCUCUUGGAUCUUUGGUUGUCUGAAGUCCUACCAAUGUAGGCAAGAAAAUUGAGUUGCUUAGAGGUCAAAUCGAAGCAACUCAGUUGACACACCUCAAAAUUCAACUCCUCAUAUCUUUCUACCAAUGUAGGCAAGAAAAUUGAGUUGCUUAGAGGUCAAAUCGAAGCAACUCAGUUGACACACCUCAAAAUUCAACUCCUCAUAUCUUUCUAUAUAUGUGGAGUUAGUUAAAAUUGAGGUCAGAUUCAUGCUCUAUGCUAUUUUUUCUUUCAAAUCAUGUCCUCCUUUUUUAUUUUAGUGAUGGUUGAGAGUGGACCAGUCCGGUGAGGUCCACCAGAGAAGAAGACCGGAGCUACAGCUCCGGUCGUGCGUUGGCACGUCUCCCAGCCACAUGAUCUUGCCAUUUUGUUUUAAUCUGAGGCGUUGGUUUUGAUUACCACGCGUAUGGCACGCUGACUACGUUCCAUCAUGGAACGCGCGUUGUAGUCCACUUGAUCUACCACCUCAAUUAAUGAGGGAGAUCAAGUGGCUCACGUUUUUUCAUAUUUUCUGAUUUUGUUUUAUUCCUUUUAUUUUCAUUAAUUCGUAUUAAUUUUAAUAUUGAUCCAAAAAAUAUGAGAGUUUCACCAAAAGUUUUCAAAUAAUUUCCUCUUUCAUAUUCUGAAUUAAAAUCAUUUUUUGGAUCAUUAUUAAUAUUUUUUAUGAUUUAAUUGUUUUUGUGAUUAUUUUUAAUUGAUUAAAAAUACUUUCAAGUCAUUAAAAAUUAUGAAUUUUUUUAUCCAAGGUCCUUUGACCUUGUUUGACCUAUGAUAAAUCUCAUGGCCAUUUAUUUGGUGUUUUGAUGAGGUUUUAGGAAUUUGACAAACCAUAUUUAAUUUAAAUGCCUUAUUUUAGUAUUUUUAAUUUUAAUAAAUGCCAAAUAAUUUGUUUAUCAUUGUAAUGACUUGUUUGAGUUUGACUCUUGUUGUUGGCCUUGGUCAAGGUUGAUUUGACUUUGUCAAUAUCAUUGGAUUUAGGGGAUUGAUGGAAUGUACAUUCCAUCUCCCAAAAUGAAUGAAUGAUAUUAAUUUGGUAAAAGUCCUCCUUUGACCAAUUUUAGUUUUGAUACAUUCCCCUCCCUCUUCAUCUCAUUCCCCUUCUUGAUGCAUCCAUCUCAUUUGGCCUAUGAUAUCUCAAAGUCCUAAGGCUAGUUGAUUGAAAAAUCAACAUAAGUAUGGAUGAGAUUAGGCCACCUCUUUUGCAUAUCCUCUGUGUGUGGUAUGUUUCAUGAGCAUAGUCCAUUAUACUAUGUCUCAAACAUGCAUUAACACCGAAGUUCUAUUGUCCGGCCUCAAAUAGUUGUGACUUCUACAUAAGUCCAAUUACGAUUGCUUAACAUAGCGCUAAAUUUGUGACACAAAAGGCAUAGCAUUCUAGUUAGUGAGAUUGUAAGUCUCUCCUCUUUCAUGGUAUUGUGUAGAAACUUGGUCUUUUUUCCUUCCUUUGGAAGAUUUCUUGGCUCAAGGAUCCAUGCUUGUGAUAAGUGGGUUGAGUGUUCUCCAAAGAAUGUCUUAAAAUGAAAAGCAAAACAAUACUAACUUCUAACUCAUUAACAACUAACUUUUAAUUUCAAGCCAUUUACUUUAAUGUCAUUUAAUUUUAGUCUUUAUUCAUUUGCCAUUAUUCAUACCAUUCUAAUUGUUUUUUUAAUGUCAUUUAAUUUUAGUCUUUAUUCAUUUGCCAUUAUUCAUACCAUUCUAAUUGUUUAUGUUAAUGCAAUUUUUACUUUGUCCAUUUGGACCAUAUUGUGUGAUAUAUCUUGUUUGUGUAUAUUUUGCUUGUUUGUGUGGACUUUGACCAUUAAUGUACAUAAUAACAACAAAAACCCUAAAAAAACUUUUGUGUUGACUGUUGGUUUGAUCUUAGACAAAUGGACUUAGAACUUAGGCAAUAUUCCUAUGUUAAAGGACUUGGCCAAUGCCAACUUUCUGUGAAACCAAGUGCUUGAUACAUCAUUCAAGAUCUCUCUGAGUUCAUCUGCAACAUGAUCAUUGUGAAGCUGUUAUUUUGAACAUGUGACUUGUGGAAUUCAUCUAUUUCAUGGGCUAAUUUGAAGGAGCAUGAAGUGGCUAAAGCUUGGAUGUGGCUAUCUUUAUUUGAUGCAUUUGCUCUUCAAGAUAAUAUAAUUGUGCAUUUAUGUUUUGCUUGAUUCUAAAUGUCCAAGGGAAUUCUGGGUUUCUAUUGACAUUCUUGUCUAUUGGAUUGCUACCCAUUGGUCAGAUCUUUUCAACUCUUAACUUUUAAUUUUGUGUAUAGGAUUAGUCCCUUCAUCUUCUCCUCAUUUCUUUAAUUUCAAAAUCUCUCCCUCCCUUUUCAAAAUCUUCUUUGAUUGAACUUAUUUUGUCAUAAACUUUGACCACUUUGCAAAAAGAUAGAAACUUUGGCCUUAUGUCAUUGCAUUUUCAAAUUUCUUUUCUUAAAUCAAAUUUGUAAAUAAACUUAACUAUACUUGACUUAAACUUUCAGAAAAGCCAAAAAGAACUAACUCAUUCAAACCAUUUUAGGUCUUUGUGUCUUUCAAACUUAAUUUUUGUUAAAAGCAAUGCAUCCACUUUGAAAUUUGUAUCACGAACUAGGAGGUUUUGAUCCCUCAUUUUUAUGUUGGUACGUAGGCACAAGUCCGAAGGGCUUGUCAAACACAAAAAUAUAAUUGAUGAAUUCUUUUCUCAUCCCCCCAUUUUAUUUGUUUGUAAACAUCAUUUUCGUACCAAAUACAUAUGCACACAAAAAGGGCUCCCUAUGAGUACCUAGGACACUUUGGGUGUUAACACCUCCCAUCUGUGUAACCAACCCCCUUACCUGUAAUCUAUGACAUUUUAUUAAUUUUGAUUUGAAAACUUCUUACUUUGGGUUUUGUUCGUACUUUCCCCCUUUUUCCUUGGAAACAAUAAAAGCGCGGUGGCGACUCUUGUUAUUUGAUGUCUAGCUUAUCCAUAGCUUGAUGAUCAUGAAUUUACCGCUACUCAUACGUCGAGCACGAUGCUGAGACAUGUGGUCCAAUAUUUUAAACUCAGGCUUCUUCCUAGGAAUAACUUAGGCCUUUUUCUUUAUGACAAUGUAGUAAAAUCCUACAACCUUCAAAUUUCCUUUCAAGAUAUCAUCAACAACAUCUGAAUUUUUGUUUACCUGGUGAACAUAUUAAGGUAUUUUUUCGGCUUUGGUCUUUAACAGUGUACCCUCUUCUUCCAAUUCAUAGAUGGUUGAACUAAGAUUCUCAUUUUCUUGGAGAAGAGUACUUAUAAUCUUCUUAUGUUUCUUUUCUUUUAAGGAGGAAGCAUUCCAUUCAAUAAUUAAUUCUCAUAAGGAUUUAGUAAGAUCUUAUAUAGUCAUAACUUCUUCAUUAUACUCAAUAUUAGAGUCAUAUUUUCCAGUGAAAGCCUUCAUCUUGUUUGAUCCUUCUCAUUUUAUUUCAUCAUUUGAUUUUGACCAAGCGACAGACAACCCCUUCUUUUGAUUCUUCAGAAAGGUAGGACAUUCUUCUCUAAAGUGUCCAUAACCUUCAACUUCUUUAAUUAGUCCCUAGUUAUGGUGUGUGAUAAAAGGUCACAAUGUAUGUGUUAUAAAAAGAUAUGCCAUAAACUAAUGAAAUUUAGUAUUCUCUAUUGAGAUUCUUAAAUUAAUUCCACAUACAUACUUAUGCCUCAUGUUUCUCAACUCACCUCAAUAUAAACAAGAGAUGGCGGUGACACUCCAUUCAGAAACUGCAUUGCAAGUUGAGAUAUACUCGUCUUCAAAAUAAUACUCCAUUCAGAAAUUGUAUUGCAAGUUUAGAUAUACUCGUAUUCAAAAGAAGACGUGGCCACCAAUGCUUACUUCUUGCAGCACUGUGAAAUUAAACAAUUGAACAACUUAAACACAUAUUUCAUUGUAUUUAUUCUUUCUAAUUUAUAUUUAUACCAAUCUGAGUCACAGAAACCCAACAGUUUAUCCAUAGGGCGAUCAAGUUUGGAAAAUAAGAUAUCAUGAUCUAAUGUAUCCUUAAGACAUCUAAUGAUCCUCUUGACUACUUUCAUAUAUGACAAUUUAGGGUCUUGCAUAACUUUACUCACCAUAUAUGCAUUGUGGCAUAUUGUAAACAUCCCAUCAUUUGUUUGUAUAGAGUGUUAUCAACAACCUUUACACUUCCAUCUUUACUUAAUUUAGAAUUUAUUUUCAUAUGAUUACUUGUUGAGUUGCAGUUCAACAUAUUAAAUAUCUUCAAGAUAUCACUGGCGUACUUCCUCAGUUGAUUUACCAAGCGUUUCAUGGUUGAAACAAAUUCAAGUCCCAAAAGUAACUUAAUCAUACGUCAGCCAUAUAAACUUCAAUGCCCAUGUUGAAUUUGAGAUUCCCAAUCUCAUUGCCACUAUUUCCUGUGAUGAGUAAUUCAUCCACAAAUAAGCACACAAUUAUAAGAUUGUCUUGAUUCAUUACCUUCACAUAGAUUUCAUGUUCAAUUAUACAUUUGGAAUAACUAAUAUAGUUUAGGAACUAAUCAAUCCUCUUGUUCCAGACUCUUCGAGCUUGUUUCAGUUUGUAAAGAACCUUAUUAAGCUUUGAGACAUUAUCUUAUUCCUCUUUCACAAUAAAUCUUGCGGUUUUCGAACAUUAACUACCUCCUUAAAGAAGACAUUUCAAAAUGCAAAGUUGACAUUUAGUUGAACAAAAUUACAUUCUUUGAAGUUAGUCAGAGCUUUCAUUAAUCUAGUUCUCUCAAUUCUUGCAACUAUGGCAAAAAUUUAUAUGAAAGCAAAGCCAUACUUUUGUAAGAAUCUUACUGCAACAAGUAUUGUCAUAUGUUUGGAAAUGGGUCAAGGCCAUACUUUUGUAAAAAAUUCUAUGAAACAUUUUAUGUGUCAGAAAGGAGACUAGAUUCCAUGAUUGAUUAUUAUCUUUCAUACAUAGUAGUAAUCCCCACAUAUAAUGUAAUUAUGAUGUAAUUAUUUCUACAUAGUUGAAAAUUUCAACGUCGACAAAUAAGGCUAAAUGCACUAGGUCUUUCUCUAGUGUGCUCAUCUGGUCUAGAAUGACAUCAUAUUCAUGGAGAAUUUUAGUUGAGAAUCUAAUCCUCUAGAAUCAUCUUGCUUACUCUAUUUGUGUAACACCUCUUUUAGGUACAAAAGGCCCACUUUAGUCAUUAUGGAAUACAUAUGACACAUUUGAAGACGAGGUAACAUCUAGACUCUUCUAAUUCCAACAAUCCUCAUCACCAAUUGUAACAUAUGUGCUCGCAACAAUCCUUUAGGUCAUUAAAUUGAAUAACUUGUAUGAACCUACAAUAUCUAGCCUAAAAAAAUCAUUGAUUCACUCUUAUAUUCAAAUCAAACUUCUUCCUUCUUUGGCCUGGGAUGUAUUUAAAACAUAAAUACACAAAGAUCCCCAACUGCUUGACAAAUGGAGGCGACAUGACCACAUUUACACUGAGACCAUGUCUAUUCUCUUGGUUGGACUUUUGUUGAGCACAUAACAUGUAAAGUAUGACCGCUUCGCCCCAAAAAAUAUGUUGAAAGUUUAUUUUCUUUUAGCAUGAUUUGGUCAUGUUUACGAUGGUUUUGUUCCUUGUCUUAGAAAGACCAUUAUAUUUAGGGGUGUAUGGUGUUUCGAUCUCGUGUUGAAUUCUCAUAUCUUCAUAAAAAGGUUCAAAUUCUCUUGAAGUGUAUUCACCACCUCCAUCACUCCAGAGAACUUUGAGUUGUCUUUAUGUGUGUUUUUCUUACAUCAUUUUAAACAUUUUGAAAACAUGGAGUACUUUAUCUUUUUUUUAGUUAAAUAAACUCACAUCAUUCUACUGAGUUCACCCACAAAAAAACAAAGUAUUUAUUCCAUCUAGUAACAUUGUCUCAAAGAGAUAACAAAUAUCAAUAUGUACCACAUUAAGUUUACUGUGAGCUCUCUUAGGAAUUUUCCACACAAAUUAUUUCUUUGGUUAAUUUCCUACCAAGUAGUUAUUGUACACAUCUAUAGGCAUUUUGAUUAUAGGAAAACAUUGUGCCAUUUCCUGUUACUUUCAUGUGCAAAGACUCUUAAAAUUAAGGUCUCCAUACAUGAGGUGCCAUAGGUAACCAUUGUCAUUGAGCAUCUCAGUAGCAAGGCAAGAAGAAUUUGUUGCAUUUAUAAUGGACUUAAAAUUUUCUAUUGAGAGAGAGAGAGAUACUUUCAACAUAGUUUUCUUAUGUGCAACAAAGACUAGUAACGAAUUCACCUUGGCAUCUGGUUGCCGACAAGGUGCAUGUUAAACCCAUUAUCUCGUAUUUCACCUAUACUCAAUAAGUUACUCUUGAUGCUUGAAACAUACAACAAACCAGUAAUGAAUUCUUGUUUUCCUUGCAUGUCUUUGAUCAAAAUUCAUCAUCUCCCUUUGAUGGAAUGAUUAUGUUAUCAAUAAAUCUUAUAUUUGCCUUUCUUUAAUUAUAUAAUUGAAUAGUCAUUCUCGGUGACUUGUCAUAUGAUUUGAACAUCUUGUGUCCAAAUACCACUCAUUUAUGUUUUCAAGUUCAUCAUUUUAUUUCCACCAAGAGGAUAUGGUUUAAGUCAAAGUUGUAAGUGUAAUAUGCUCUUAAGUGAAUUUUGAAUGAUGUCAAAACUAGGUAGCGUAGAUCUUUGUGUAUUUGGACCUUACAAUCUUUGUCAAAAUAUGCAUCAUCAUCAUAGAACAUGUAAGAUUAGAUUAAAUAAUCCAUCACAUGCCAAAAUAUAAGUUUUUCAUAAAAAAAUCAUGCAUGGGCCGAUACAUCUUCAAUAUGGGUCGAUACACUGAGUGGAAUUUCAAAGAAUUUAGAUCUGCCUUGAAUGGGUCGAUACAAGAGAGUAAUGGGUCGAUACAUUCUGUGAAUCAGUCGACUCAUUCUUGGUUGGGUCGACUCAAUCUGAAAGAUGUUUUCAGGAUUUUCACUGCCUCUAACGGGUCGAUACAAAGGUGAAAUGGGUUGAUACAUUAAGUGAAUGGGUCGACUCUCCCGUGUUUGGAGUCGACUCAUUCUGAAACGUUUUUCUCUCAAAUUUUCUACUUCUUUCAAUGUGUUGACUCUAUUUGGUAUCGUAUUGACUCACUCAACUUAUGUAUUGACUCAUUCAAGUUUAGAGUCAAUACAUUCUGAACUAAAUUUCAAAAAUUGCAUUUUGGAUAAAAAUAUGUUUUUACUCAUUUCUUUUCUACACAUACACAUACAUAUAAAUAUGCAUUCAUGCAUCUUUUCUCAGCAUUGAAACUUGAAAGAUACAAAGAAUUCUCAUCAUCUUCAACCUAUCUUGACGCAUUCAUUAACUGCACAUAAUCAUUUUUUAUUGUUUGUUGACAAGAAUAGAUUGAUAAGGUCCAAUUUAGGUUUGUGUAAGCAAAUUGGGUUGAGGUUUUCUUUGGGGAUUCAAGGAUAAAAUCUUUAGGGAUUUUACUCCAAGAUCAAGGGUUGAUUUGGAGGUUUUUGCACAAGUCUUGUCAACUUGGAUUCAGCCAAGCGAAGGCUUUGAAGAACGGGGGUUCUUGCAAAGGAGUAACGGUAACCGGAUGAUCAAUUGAAAGGCUUGGGGCAAGAUUUUGCAAUUUGGAUUCAGUCGAGCGAAGGCUUUGAAGAACAGGGGUCUUGCAAAGGAGUAGUGGUAACCGGAUGAUCAUAUUAGAGAUCUCGUGUGACUUGAUCUUGCUAGGAUCAAGGGUAGAGAAGGAGCUAGGAUCAACAUCAAAUAUAUGGUUUGGGGUUUGAAUUUCUACACUUCUAUUGUACACUGGUAUUGCAAAGGUUAAUUAUAAUAUCUCAAUUCAAUUUCAAAUUGAGGGCAGAUGUACCCAAAGUGAGUAUAAUUGGGAAAUUUCCUAAACAAAUCUUGGCGUUCUCUCUCUCUCUUUCUCUCUUCCUCUCUCUCAAAUUUCUUUUUAAAUUUUGAUCACACUUAGUAUGUAAUUUGAAUUGUUGAAAAUUCUGGUUGUAUUGAAGUGCUUAAAACUAUUUGUGUAAAACCAUUGCAAUCUAAACCAUUAUAAUUGAUUUGUUAUAACUUAACACAGAGAGAAUCAAACUUGAUGUAUUGCACACCAAGUGUUCGAUAAAAUUAUUGCACACCAAGUAUUCGUCAAAAUUUCUUUGUCAACUUUAUUUUUACUUCUCAUUGAAAAUCACUUAUCUUAAGUGUGGUUUAUAUUCAAACAAACUAUAUUGAACUUGUUGAAUGAAUUUUCUCAUCUUUAGCAUACUUAUAUUACAGUUUAUACACAUAUCCAAUCAUACCAAUAACAAUUCAGAUAGACGAGAGUCGAUCCAAAUUCGUUUCCGCUUGCCAUAGAAAAAUAUUUUUCAAAAUAAAUUUUUAUUUGGGGAUCUAUUCAACCCCCUCCCCCCUAGGUCGUUGCCCUCGUCUAACAAAAGUUACUUUUAACCUAGGGCAUGUGUGUCUUAAUCUCUACAUUGUCUUUGACUCUGGAAACAUGUUUUCUCUUGCACUCAUCUACAAAGUGUCCAAAGUUUUGGCAAUUAUAACACUAAAUAUUUUUCUUGCUCGGUGGUUUAUUUCUCUUCUUAUCUUGAUGAACAUUAUUGUUUCCUGAAGAUGAUUUAGAUUGAUCGUCUUUCUUAGAGAUAUCUUUAUGAAAUUCAACUUUCUUAAAUUUGUCAUUUCCCUCCCACUUUGAAACACCGCCUUACCGAGACGUAUGAGCCUAAAAAGCUAACUCACUCUCUCUUUCUUUGGUUCUUUUAAGCACCAUUUCUUCAUACCUUUCUAAGGAACGCUUCAAUUCCUUAACAUUCACGAGGAACAAUGCAAUUCCUCAACCUUCAUGGUUCUUCAAACGCCACGGUAAUGUAAUAAAAUCUUGAGGGGGAUGCAUCAGGUUGUUCACGAUGGUUUGAUCAUAACCAACUUCCCACACAUUUUCAUCUGAUCGGUAACACGUGUGAUUCUAUUGGAAUACUAAUAACCUUCUUAUUGUUCUGAAUCUCCAAGAAAUCAAAUUGUCUUCUCAAUGUUUGCAAACUCUUGAAUUAGUCAUCCCUAACACAACCUUUCUCAAGAAUGUCUCACAUCUCAUUCAAUGAAACUGCAUUUUUAAUCUUUUAGAAAUUCAUCGUACGUGUGUGUACAUUGAUGGAUGAAGAACCGCGUCUUAAAGUCUUUUUUCUUCUAUGUGUAUAUAGUUCUAACAAAUGGUAUAUAGAAUCUGAAGCUCUUCGAAUUUCAAAAGUGUUCAAGAUUUAAUAUCCAUGGUACCCCCAGAUAAAAGAGAAAAAGAAAACAAAAUUGAAAUUAUAUAUAUUGCACUUCACAUCCAUUUGUUCUGUCUUAUUACUAGAUUUAACAAUUUAACCGACUUAACUAAUUAGUUUUUUUUAUAUAUAACAAAUAAUUUAAUCACUUACACUCGAAUUAUAUUCCAACAAUUUUUUUUGUCAAAGUCAAUCAUAUCUAUAACAUUCAUACUUUAAAAAUUUACAUAAAAAUUUAACUGAGUAGAAUUUUAAAGGACAAAUAGUGAGUUUUUAAUAGACACAUUCUUUUAUUCAAAAUCUAUCGAAUCAAAUCACGCAAGAGCGAAAAAUCAAAUCUACGGAAUUUCACAUAUUCAACUUCCAGAAGUAAAAUACCAACCACUAAUAAAAAAAACAGUGUCUUUAUAUUUUAUAUACAAAAUGAUGAUAUUAGUAUUAAAUAAUAUUUUAACUGAGGUAUCUAAUUUUUUUUUUGCCUGCGCUAAUAUUUGUGAUUACAACCCUAAAAAUUGUUUUACUAAAAAAAAUUUAAAAAGAAAAAGAAAGAGAGAGGCUUCCCUGAGCUGUUGGAUACCGGAGGCAGAGUGUGUCAUUGUGAUCACCACCGGGUAACACCACUAAACGACACCGUAUCCAUCUUCUUCUCAUUCGUCACAAACCCCGCCAUGCUCGACUUAAGAAAACUCAGAUUAACAUUCACAUUUUUCAAUCUUAAACCCUCCCUAAACCCUAGAUUUCACAGCACAACAAAAACAUCACUUCAAUUACAACCAAAACCAAAACUUCCCUCAAAAUCCACUGUCAAAGAAGCCCAAGCCGCAUUACUAGACUAUCUUCAUUCCACAAGAAGCUUGCAGUUUCUAGACGCGGACAACAUGUGCAAAAACUCGCCUUUUUUCAUUCAAACCCUUGUUGAAAAAACCCUAAAAAACGAGAAGCUUGUAAACCCUAAGCGGUUGAUUUCUCGCUACUUGCGUUACCAUCCAAUCAAUGAAUUCGAACCCUUUUUCGAGAGUUUGGGUUUGAAGCCUUCAGAAUAUGCACCUCUUCUUCCUCGUGACUUGAUUUUUCUUAAUGAUGAUCCUCUUAUGAUGGAGAAUUAUCAUACUCUUUGUAACUAUGGGGUUCCAAGGUCCAAAAUAGGGAAGAUUUUCAAACAAGCGACGGAAGUUUUUAGAUUUGAAAAUGGGGUUUUGAAUUUGAAGAUUAAGGCUUAUGAGAAGUUGGGUGUUUCGUCUUCGGUUUUAGUGAAUGCUGUUGCUGUUAGUCCUGGACUUUUGGUGGGUGAUGUUAAUGUUGAUUUUGUGGAGGUUGUGGAUAUGUUGAAGGAUAUUGUUGCAAAGGGUGGUGAUGGUGGUGAUGUUGAUAGUGGUUGGAUUAAGUGGGGUUUUUUGGAUGAGGUUUCUUGCAAUUGGGGCUUGAUGCUUGAGCUCUUGUGCUUGCUUUCGGAUGCUGGUUUCAGUAAGGAACAGUUGGCGGAGAUUAUUCGUCGUAGUCCUUGCAUUGUUUUUGAGGAUUCUGGAGGUAGGACGCUCUCUAUGAUUGGCUUUUUGACUAAAUUUGGAUUGUCUGUGAACCAGAUUGCCCUUGUGUUUCUCGAGUUUCCGCAGAUUCGGAUGGUCAAGUUUUUAGCCAACUUGAGAGUGUGUCUUCAGCUUCUGACUGAAAUUGAGAUGGAAGCUGUGGAGAUUGGAAAGAUUUUCCAGUCUCACACGUUAUUCAUUGGUUCCUAUACUCUCAAGACAACAAAGAGUUUGCUUGGUUGCUUGAAUGUCGGCAAGAAGCGGCUCUGUGCCAUAGUGCAGGAAAAUCCUCAUGAAAUGAAGAAUUGGAUUCUGGGAAGGAGAGUUAAGCCUUUGGUUAGCUUAAGGGAGGAGGAAGAGGAAAAAUCAAAAGCGGGGAAGACAGAGUUCUUGCUGCGUUUAGGAUAUGUGGAAAAUUCGAAACAAAUGAAUACGGCAUUUAAGGUGUUCAGAGGUAAGGGAGCUGAACUUCAGGAGAGAUUUGAUUUUAUUGUUAAUGCUGGCUUGACACGUGACGAUGUUUGUAGAAUGAUUAGAGUCUCCCCGCAGAUUCUUAAUCAGACCACAGAUAGGGUCAAGAUGAAAAUUGAGUAUCUUAUAAAGAAAGGAUAUUCUGUAUCGGAUUUAGUGAGUUUUCCAUCUUAUCUUUCAUAUAAAUCUCUAAGAGUUAAACAUAGGUUGUCAAUGUAUAACUGGCUCAUAGACAAUGGGGCCGUAGAGCCCGGGCUUGCUCUGAGCACCAUAGUUGCAUGCACAGACAGAAUAUUCUUACAAAGUUAUGUAAAUCGCCAUCCCUCUGGCCUUCAAGUUUGGGAAGAGUUGCAAAAAGAAAUUCAUUGUGAAGAUUAAUGAAUAAUCAGAUACUAGCAUGCUUAACGAUUGUUUAUUCUUGCAAAUGUUUUUACCAAUUGAACUGCAAUUGGUAUUCUGAAACAAGAGUUCUGUGGCCGUGAAUUGGGUUGUGAUGUCAAAGUUUUUUUGUGUCUUGGUCACCACAACGUGACUGCAAUUGACCGCAAUUCUCUCCAAUAACAAAAAUUGCAAAGCCGUCACAAUUUAAAACCAUCUAGCCAGCCACCAUCAUGCUGUUAUGAAACCUACAGGGAUAACUAAAGAGCAGCAGCUUUCAUGAGCAAGCAUCAUAGGUGAUUGCCGAUUGCAAAUGUUUCUGACAUGACCUGUAGAUGGGAGACUUAAGACGAAUGUUGACUUAAUACGCCAUAUUCACUGUAUGUAGGUGUUCACUUGCUCAUUUACAUUGAAAACUACUACCCAAAUGGUUUUGAUUUCGUCGCUAAAACUGUUCCUCAUAUAUGAAAAUUACAGCUGAAAUUUGCAAUUUCUUGAACUCACAAUUGGAGAAUACAAACAGUUGAGAUUUGCACACAUAGAAUCUGGAUCCAGCAUGCAUGUACAUGUCUGCAAUUUGGCAUGAUUGUAUUAUGUGCCACUGAAGCCAUUUGAACAGAGAUUUAUAUCAUCUGUCACUUGAUUUUUUUGGACAAAUUUAAUGUUUAUAUUAGUUGAAGUCAAGAUUGUUGUACUUUCAAAAUGUUGCAGAGAACUCGAUACUUCAUCUAGUAGAAUGUUCAAUCUUCUCUGUACUGGUGAUAUAUCCACUGAUCCACUAUUAUUAUUACUGCAAUAAACUGAUUUAAACCAUGUAUAUUCGCCAUCGAACUUAAGCACGAUUGACUAAUUUUGUGAUGAUUAUUGUGUUUUUAUGCAAUUAUCUUCUUACUUUACUACUUGAUUUUUCAUUCUAUUUUAUCAAGGCAUUUGUCAGAAAAUUUGUGGCAUUGAGCUAGCUAUUACUGGUUUAUGAUUCCUCCUCCAUAAUGUUAGUUGUAAUUGUUGCCUUUCUUGUUGGGGGCAAAAGUUGAGUAUUCAAAUGCAAACUUUAUUAUUUUGGAAUCAUCAAAUACAAACUUUAAAGCAACGAAUUUAAUUGUAACUAACUACAAUUCAUUCACUUUAAAAUUGUAGAUGUAGAUUAGGUGGGUAGCUUCAAUAGCCUAUUGAAUUUGUAAUUUCAAAUCUGUCAAACUUUUCUAAACAAACAUAGUAAAGUCUAAUACAGUAUGAAUUGGCUUUUGAUUAGAUGAUUAAAUAUUUGACUCUACUUGGAACUUGUUAAAUUGACAUCAUUAUAACCAGACAAUGGCUUUUUGGUGGGUCCAAUUGUUAAGCUAUGUUUAUCAUUUUGGAUUUUAUAUUAAGUGGAGGUUAGGGAACUAUUUAAUACUCCUAUUUUGUAGUUUUUAUAAUCUUUUAUUAGAGAUCCCAAAUUUUAUUGAAGAUUUGGUUUGUUAUGAACAAGAGCAUGCUUAACCUUGUGUUGUUGUUGUUUCUAAUGGGAUAGUACAAGAUUAAAGUUGAUGUAGGUUGCUUCCUUUAAGGAAUUAUUGGUUGGGAUGUGAUUGUUUAUGAUAACUAUAAUUCAAUAACAUGGUUGGGGUAUAUCCUUUAGAUUUCCUUUAAUAUAAGCUCUUUUAAUUUCAUGGAAAACACCACUAGUUUUAGUUAAUAAAAAUCUAUCAUUGGAAAUUUUAGUUAUAUUAAACUCAAUAAAUAGCCUUUCAUUUUUGAGAUUGACUCUGCUGUGUUGGAAACAAAUGACAUUUUGAGAUAAGACCAAAUUUCAAACUUCUUUUUAAAACAAAAUGGAUGGAAGGACUUCCCGCCUAAAGAUAAUUGUAUUUUUUUUAAAAAUCUAUUCAAAAAAAAUUUAACAGCAGGUAAGAGUUAGAUUUGACAAGUUAGAAGACAUUUUUUAUCAUCUCAUUUAAAUUUCUCUUUGAUCAAAAUAAUUAUAUAUUAUUUAAAUACAUCUUUAGUUCUCCUAUUUUAAUAUUUUUUUAAUUUAUAGUCUUCAUUUCAAAACUCAAUUUUUGGUACCUCAACUUUAAAUCUCUAUUGAUUUUGUUUGUCCCCUCACUUUUGCAUACGUGGCGAUAAUGACUAAUAUAUGAUUUUUAUUUUUAUUUUUUAGUUAAGUUAGAAGACAUUCUUUAUCAUCUCAUUCAAACGGCUCUUUGGUCAAAAUAAUUAUAUAUUGGUUUAGAUGCACUUUGGAUCACUCUAUUUUGAUAUUUUUUAACUUUUAAUCCUCAUUUCAAAACUCAAUUUUUUGGUCCCUCAAUUCAACUUUACAUCUCUUACGAUUUUAUUGGUCCCCUUCUACUUUUAAUCUCUCUAUUUUGAUGUUUUUUAACUUUUAAUCCUCAUUUCAAAACUCAACUUUUUGAUUCCUCAAUUCAACUUUAUAUAAGUUGGAAUUUUGUUGAGCAAAUCAUUUUAGCAUUUAAAAAUAAUAAUAGCACUAAAUGUUAGUCACAAGAUCUAUUGGCAUUUUUUUUUGCAAAAUAAUGACAUUAAAUAUUUAACACAAGGCUAGAACCCUUGAUCUAGAGUUGUCCAAAAAAGUUAUUCGAUUCUAAACGGGUUGGCCCUGACAUACAUUGAGUUUUUUAGGAUCGGGUCCAAUAAAUCCAGAAAAAUUUUACCUUGUACCCCUACAGUUAGCCUCAUACCCCUACAAAAUUUUAAAAAUUCUCAUUCUACCCUUAAUUGGUUUUAACCAAUUUACCAUUUCAUUUUUACCAUUCAGUUGAAAAUUUCAGAAUUACACUUCACACCCUUGUCAACCGGAAUCCUGCAAAAAGACUUCCGGUAUGUAUUUUCCCAAACCGAAGACUUCAAGAAUGACUUCCGAACACACAAACAAUGACACGGAAGACUUCAUGAAAGAGUUCCGGUUCAAUCAGAAAAAAUUUACAAAACCAGAAACACUUCUUGAAAGAGUUCGGUGAACAAAUUUAUACAUACCGGAACUCUUUGGAGAAGUGUUCCGGUUGUAUUAUAUGUGUUCCGAACUCUUUCAUGGAGUGUUCCGGUUUCGCUUUUUUUUUAAAUUUUUUUUUAAUUUUUUUAUUUAUUUAUUUUGCAGAAUGGNNNNNNNNNNNNNNNNNNNNNNNNNNNNNNNNNNNNNNNNNNNNNNNNNNNNNNNNNNNNNNNNNNNNNNNNNNNNNNNNNNNNNNNNNNNNNNNNNNNNNNNNNNNNNNNNNNNNNNNNNNNNNNNNNNNNNNNNNNNNNNNNNNNNNNNNNNNNNNNNNNNNNNNNNNNNNNNNNNNNNNNNNNNNNNNNNNNNNNNNNNNNNNNNNNNNNNNNNNNNNNNNNNNNNNNNNNNNNNNNNNNNNNNNNNNNNNNNNNNNNNNNNNNNNNNNNNNNNNNNNNNNNNNNNNCCUACAGUUAGCCUCAUACCCCUACAAAAUUUUAAAAAUUCUCAUUCUACCCUUAAUUGGUUUUAACCAAUUUACCAUUUCAUUUUUACCAUUCAGUUGAAAAUUUCAGAAAUUACACUUUCACACCCCUUGCACCGGAACUCCUGCAAAAAGACUUCCGGUAUGUAUUUUUCCCAAACCGGAAGACUUCAAGAAUGACUUCCGGAACACACAAAACAAUGAACCGGAAGACUUCAUGAAAGAGUUCCGGUUCAAUCAGAAAAAAUUUACAAAACCAGAACACUUCUUGAAAGAGUUCCGGUGAACAAAUUUAUACAUACCGGAACUCUUUGGAGAAGUGUUCCGGUUUGUAUUAUAUGUGUUCCGGAACUCUUUCAUGGAGUGUUCCGGUUCGCUUUUUUUUUUAAAUUUUUUUUUUAAUUUUUUUAUUUAUUUAUUUUGCAGGAAUGGAAAAUCUUUCCCAAAUAUGUGUAGAUGCUACUGAUGCGUUUAUGACGACGGAAAGAUUUGGUACACGAGAAAAGGUUAUCAGAUGAAUUAAAGAGGUUGGAAUCGAUAAUAAAGUAACAGUUAUUAUCAGUCGUUCAGAUACUGAAACGGGGAAGAGAGGGAGAAGUAACAAAAUAAUAUUUGGUUGUGAUAAAGGUGGGAAACACAAGAUUAGUGAUAGUGGUACCCAAAGUGCGUCCAAGAAAUGUGGAUGCCCAUUUAAAAUCAGGUCGACUCCGGCGAAAGAUUGAUGUAAAAUGUGGGUUACAUAAUCAUGAUUUACCUGAUAAAUUAGAAGGUCAUUCGUUUAUUGGUAGGUUGACCACAGAUGAGAAGGAACAUGUCGCUGAUUUGGCAAAGAGACAUGUAGCACUUAGACACAUAUUGCUUUCCUUGCAAGACCGAUAUCCUGAGAAUGUCACUCGGAUUACGCAAGUAUACAAGCAUAAGAGUGUGAUACAAAAAGAGAUAAGAGGUCCUAGGAGUGAGAUACAACAUUUGCUUAAGCUUAUUGAGGAUGCAGGCUAUGUCUAUUGGAGUAGAAAAAAGGAUGACUCGGAAAUGGUGAGAGAGAUAUUUUGGGCACAUCCUGAUUCAAUUAAGUUGUUGAAUAUUUUUCCGAUUGUGUUAGUUAUGGAUAACACCUACAAGACAAACAAAUAUAGACAACCUUUGUUUGAAAUUGUUGGCAUGACAUCGACCGAGUUGACUUUUGCUGUUGGAGUUGCGUAUAUGGAGUCUGAGCAAACAAAGAAUUUUUGCUGGGUAUUGGAGAAAUUAAAAGAGUUGUUUGUGAAGAAAGACAUGUGUCCACAAGUGAUUUUGACAGAUAGAGAUCUUGCUUUGAUGAAAAGCAAUUGAAGUUGGUUUCCCAGCUCGAUUAACUUGGUAUGUAAUUUCACAUUAACAAAAACGUUGUGCCAAAUGCAAACAACAUGUGGUGAAUGACCUGCAAGACGAUAGACACAUUAUGGAUGAAGUUGUUUGGCGCUAGUGAUGAGUUGAGUAUGGUAAAACGGUUGGCACAACUUGAGCAAGCAUGUGUUGAUAUAAGGGAUUAAUAAGUAUGUGUGAAGACACAUGGUUGACCGCACAUAGGCAUAGAUUUGUUGCAGCAGGAUUCAUCGAGUGCUACAUUGAUACACAGACUAAUCGGUACGUCUUAUAAUUUGUAUGUGUUAUUUAAUAUCUGAUAUUUUUUCUAUGUUAUUGUUAUGGUGUAUUUUCAAUAUUUUUAGGGUUGAAUCUGGGCUCAUUGGAAUUAAACAGAUGUUUAGCGAACAUAUAGGGAAUGUCAAAAUGUUGGGAAGGCAUGAAUAACAACUUGAGGUCAAUGGGAAACAUUAGAGCUUUUCAACGAGUUUACGAAGUUGAGCACGCGCACGGUAAGUCCCUUUUAUGGUUAUUUGCGUGGUUCCGUAUCUCAAGCUGCUUGAGAAACGUAUUGCUGAAGAGUUAGUGAAAGUGAUUAUGUUGGAACUGAACAGCAAAUUGUGGUUGUAAACUCUAGAAGCAUCUUAUGGGUACUUUAUGUAUAGUUAGGAGCAUACAGACUGAGGUGGUAUCCGAAACAUAUGCUGUCAUGUUCAUUGGAGGAAACAAUAUUGAAGUUGAGUUGAGUAGGUGAAAUCGAUGAUCAGAGUGGAGGAUAUGACUUCUGCAAUGGAUGAGUGUGGAGCGAUUUAGGUCAUUAGAUGUAUUGGGAAAGGGCAUUAAAGAGUAGGGUAUGUGAACUUACAUACCAACAAUUACACAUUGUGUCACCACCUGAGAAAAUAACAACCAAAGAGGAUGAGAAGAAAGGGAAAAAACCAGCAGAAAUGAUUGAUAGGGACCCCUUCGUAUCAUGAGUAUGGUGAUAGCAAUCUCAAUCUCACAAAGCAAUCUCAACCAUCAAGACUUUGAAGAAGAUAAAAUUAUCAAAGAACAAACCACAAUUCAUUCUCAAGUUCCCUAAUAUAUAGUCAUACAUUGAGAUGUAGUUAAUGUGAAUCAGAGGUAAUUAUGAUUAGAGUCAUUGCAUCAUUCAUGGAUAUGGUGAGGAUGGUGCCAAUGUUUCGCAGAGAGUUGGUUGGAAAUAAUAGACAAGGAUAUGUCAACUUUGUAGACAAGUUAUUCUUCUACAUGGGCGUUGUCAGCAGUGAGAGAAUCUUUGACUGAUAGAAUCUUUUGGUUCAACACUGAAAAAUGGUUGAGUAUACCAGAUAUGGGUUACUUGAUAGCGAAUCGGCUAUGAAUGUUGUACUUGUUUGUUUAGGCAAUCCGUGCCAUGACUUUUCUUUANNNNNNNNNNNNNNNNNNNNNNNNNNNNNNNNNNNNNNNNNNNNNNNNNNNNNNNNNNNNNNNNNNNNNNNNNNNNNNNNNNNNNNNNNNNNNNNNNNNNNNNNNNNNNNNNNNNNNNNNNNNNNNNNNNNNNNNNNNNNNNNNNNNNNNNNNNNNNNNNNNNNNNNNNNNNNNNNNNNNNNNNNNNNNNNNNNNNNNNNNNNNNNNNNNNNNNNNNNNNNNNNNNNNNNNNNNNNNNNNNNNNNNNNNNNNNNNNNNNNNNNNNNNNNNNNNNNNNNNNNNNNNNNNNNNNNNNNNNNNNNNNNNNNNNNNNNNNNNNNNNNNNNNNNNNNNNNNNNNNNNNNNNNNNNNNNNNNNNNNNNNNNNNNNNNNNNNNNNNNNNNNNNNNNNNNNNNNNNNNNNNNNNNNNNNNNNNNNNNNNNNNNNNNNNNNNNNNNNNNNNNNNNNNNNNNNNNNNNNNNNNNNNNNNNNNNNNNNNNNNNNNNNNNNNNNNNNNNNNNNNNNNNNNNNNNNNNNNNNNNNNNNNNNNNNNNNNNNNNNNNNNNNNNNNNNNNNNNNNNNNNNNNNNNNNNNNNNNNNNNNNNNNNNNNNNNNNNNNNNNNNNNNNNNNNNNNNNNNNNNNNNNNNNNNNNNNNNNNNNNNNNNNNNNNNNNNNNNNNNNNNNNNNNNNNNNNNNNNNNNNNNNNNNNNNNNNNNNNNNNNNNNNNNNNNNNNNNNNNNNNNNNNNNNNNNNNNNNNNNNNNNNNNNNNNNNNNNNNNNNNNNNNNNNNNNNNNNNNNNNNNNNNNNNNNNNNNNNNNNNNNNNNNNNNNNNNNNNNNNNNNNNNNNNNNNNNNNNNNNNNNNNNNNNNNNNNNNNNNNNNNNNNNNNNNNNNNNNNNNNNNNNNNNNNNNNNNNNNNNNNNNNNNNNNNNNNNNNNNNNNNNNNNNNNNNNNNNNNNNNNNNNNNNNNNNNNNNNNNNNNNNNNNNNNNNNNNNNNNNNNNNNNNNNNNNNNNNNNNNNNNNNNNNNNNNNNNNNNNNNNNNNNNNNNNNNNNNNNNNNNNNNNNNNNNNNNNNNNNNNNNNNNNNNNNNNNNNNNNNNNNNNNNNNNNNNNNNNNNNNNNNNNNNNNNNNNNNNNNNNNNNNNNNNNNNNNNNNNNNNNNNNNNNNNNNNNNNNNNNNNNNNNNNNNNNNNNNNNNNNNNNNNNNNNNNNNNNNNNNNNNNNNNNNNNNNNNNNNNNNNNNNNNNNNNNNNNNNNNNNNNNNNNNNNNNNNNNNNNNNNNNNNNNNNNNNNNNNNNNNNNNNNNNNNNNNNNNNNNNNNNNNNNNNNNNNNNNNNNNNNNNNNNNNNNNNNNNNNNNNNNNNNNNNNNNNNNNNNNNNNNNNNNNNNNNNNNNNNNNNNNNNNNNNNNNNNNNNNNNNNNNNNNNNNNNNNNNNNNNNNNNNNNNNNNNNNNNNNNNNNNNNNNNNNNNNNNNNNNNNNNNNNNNNNNNNNNNNNNNNNNNNNNNNNNNNNNNNNNNNNNNNNNNNNNNNNNNNNNNNNNNNNNNNNNNNNNNNNNNNNNNNNNNNNNNNNNNNNNNNNNNNNNNNNNNNNNNNNNNNNNNNNNNNNNNNNNNNNNNNNNNNNNNNNNNNNNNNNNNNNNAUUAUUUCAGUUAAUAUUUUAUGUUAUAUGACUUAAUCUUUUAAUUAUUUUACUUUAUCAGGUUAACAUGAAAGAGGGGUUUCCAUUGCCACCGGUCACAUUAGAUUGGAAGAAAUUUCGUUCUCAUAUAACAACUACUUGGAUGUUAGGAUUUGCAAGACGUAUGCAACAUUGGCAAUUACUUACACCUGUAUUAGCAUGAUUAUGUACUCAAAACAUAAAUAUGUAAUCAAAACAUGAAUUUUAUAUUAUUAUGUCUAUUACAUUCAAAGCUUAAUACAUAAAUCAAUGUGAACGAGAAAUACGCAAAGCUUCAAAUAAAUCAGAAAACUGUGGAUCUUCCUCUUCGGCAUUAACCUGUCUCAGAUAGCGAUGAAUCAAUGUAGAUACACGAGCCCAAUCAGGAUCAGAUGCCCCAGCGUCAUAUACAGGAACUGGUACCUCUCUAGGAUCGUCACGAUGGGGAUGGACCAACCGUGGAUGGGAAACACGAUAAUACCACUCCAGAUAACCGUCUUCUACAUCAGAUGGAGUGGUGGCCACGGUAGAUGAGCCGAUCACAGCGAUAACACUCUGAUGGUAACUGAUCCAAUCAACAUCAAUAUCCGUCGCCAUCAUACAAUCCAGAGGUGGGGAUGGAACAUACUGCCUAUACCCGAACUGACGUAAACAUCUAUCAGGCAAGUAUGGAACAACUGUUUCACCCCACUUCAAACAGCCCCUGUAAAGACAUAUCUCAUCAAAUACACGCCAUGCUCUAUGAUCCUCAAAUGGUCGCCAGAUGACGUCGGUAGGUGUCAGCUCGUCCAAAAUAGGUCGUAAAUCAUCGACCUUCAGGACUCCCUGUCUAUACGACCAUCUCAUCGCUCGGGGAAGACCACAGUUUCCAGCAGGAUUCCAAUUCUCCCCUCUUUUUCCAACAGUUGGAAAAUACUCGUGAAUCCAACACUGUUACAAAAUAAAAACAUAAUAAAUAAAACAAAUUAAGUUACAAUAUUUUAUAAAAUGAAUCCAACACUUAAUUAACAAAAUUAAAUUAUAUACCUGUAGGAGAGUAGGAUAUCCACCGAGCUGUUUGCAACUGUACAUGGACGCAUCUCCAAGAUAUCGGUAGAGGGUAACUAGUGCAGCUGCUCCCCAACUAUAUCCUGAACAUCCAUCCAAGUCCCUAAACAGGAGGAGGUAUCGUGCCUCUACAAGUGUAAAGGUCUUAUCAGCAAAUAUGGUGGAACCCACCAACAUCAAUAGAUAUGCUCUAGUCGCAUAUGCCCAGCUGGAAGCAGCCCUAUGAUGUACGAAUAAAUCAUAUAACCACUCCAACUUGUAAUACGACCCCUUGCAGCUACGAACAUGUGACUGUGCCUGACCCUGUGACACUCCUAGGUAGUCAACAGCAAGUUCAACAGCUACCUCUUCAGUCACAUCCUGAGGACUCCAGAAGAUACCCCUGAUGGGCAAGUGAAGUAGACAUGCGACAUCAUCUAAAGUAAUGCUCAUUUCACCAAACGGCAUGUGAAAUGAAGAUGUCUCUAGAUGCCAUCUUUCCACAAAUGCAGAGACAAGAUUUGUGUCUAUCUUGUUCAGACUGGUUCUCUGCAGUGAAGAUAAACCGGAUCUAGAUACCCAACUCUCCAUCUGUGGUGGAAGAGCCAAUGGAACCCUAGAAGUCAACUUCAGUCCAUGUCCAGCAACCUUCAACUCUUUCUUUGGACCUCUUUCCUAAAAACAAUUAAAACACAUAUUAGAAAACAAAAUAUAAAAUAUUCAACUAUUAUUCAUUUUCAAAUAUAGCCCGUUUACUUACCUCACCGAACCAUAAAUGUCGAGCAACAUGAUGCUCGUACUUCACCAAAAGAGACGUAUCGUACGGCCCUCCUGGAUAUCCAGCCGGCUCAGCUGCAGAUGAAGAUGCACCCCGGUCUAACGUGCGGACUGGAAUCCUACCAUCUGCACCUCGUCUUCGAACCACUGCAAAAAAAAAGUUUAAAAAAAUAAUUAAAUUUAAAAAUAAAAAAAAAAAAAACGUACCGGAACACUUCAAAGAAGAGUUCCGGUUAGUAAAAAAACAACAUGACUUCCGGAACACUUUCUUAAAGAGUUCCGGUUUAGAUCAUCCAAACCGGAAGUCUUUAAGAAAGACUUUCGGUAUACAACAAUCCAAACCGGAAGACAUUCUAAAAGACUUCCGGUUCAGUGCCCCUAAAGGCAACAAACCGGAACUCUUUAGAGAAGUGUUCCGGUAUACAUUUCAUGAACCGGAAGACUUACUUUGAGUGUCCCGGUUUACAAUGCCAAAAAGCCAAAAAUUUCUCUUCUCCGAAACUCUUGAACGAAAAUGGUAAAAAAAAAUUAGAAAUGGAAAAUAUACCCUAUUUAUAUGAGGGUAUUUUGGUAAAAAAAAUUAAAUGUAGGGGUGUGGGUACAAUUGUAGGGGUACGGGGUAAAGUUUUCUAAAUCCAUUGAACAUUCACUCUAAUUUUACUAUUCAAGUUGAGUCCUGUCUAGGUUGCAGACUACUCCCACCUUAAGGGCCCAUUCCAGAAUUUUUUUUAUAUAUUAUACUAAAAAAAAUUAAAAUAGUCUCUUUAUUUUGUAAGUAAUUAUGCAAUAAUAUAUGUAGUAAAUCUUAAAUUUCAAACCCAAAGUUAAGAUUUAUAAAUAACCCAUCUAAGUUAACAAUUAAAAUCUAAAAUAACACAUUAACUUAAUUCAAAUUAUUUAAAAUAAAACUCAAAUUAUCUUUAACACACAAAUUUAAAUAGUCUAAAACAAAUCGCAAAUUAUUCAAGAUAACACAAGAUAAUUUGGUCCAACUAAUUUUAAGUUAUCAAACUUAACACAAAAUAAAAUAGUCCUAACUCGACUUGCAAUAUCACUUGAUUUUUCUUCAACGACAUUCACAUGUUCAACGUUAGAUGUUUGUCCUCUUCCAUCAUCUUGAUUAGUAUUAUUGUCAUCAUCAAAUUCUACAAAAUAAAAAAAAUAAUCGCUAAAAAAAUAUACAUUAUUUAUAACACGAGUGAAUAACCUGCAACAAUAUGAAUCUAUGGUACAAUAGAAAAAAAUUAAAUUAAAUAGGUAACACUUAUAAAAAGUUAAAAAGUUUACCUUGAAAGUCAUAUAACCAACUUCAUGUGCACAAUGCUAAAAGUAUAUUCAUAUGCCACUGUGGUUUGGAAUAAUCAAUAUAUCAUAAGCCAUUCUUGCGAGAUUGGGACAUCUACGACAUUUUUUCUUCCAAUAAGCCAUGAUAUCAAAAUAAACCGAUGGAGGCAACCUUUACUCAUCUAAAUAAAAAUCAAGUUCAGAUUUUCUAAUAUUAUUACUUGUUUGACUUUCAUGCUCUUCAAAUUCCUACAAAUUAUACAUAUAAACAAUAAUAAAAUUUUAAAUUUUAAAAUUAAAUCAAUCAAAAGAAAUAACAAUACAUUGCAUUCGUAAGAGGAAACAAUAUAGUUUGCACUUACUUCAUAAAUAUAUAACGAGUAUGCCAAAGUUUCCUUUCCUCCUCCGCCAAAGUUUCCUUUCCUCCUCCAAAAGUAGGUAGCAGUUGUGAAAAGUUAGGAAUAGAAGAAAUUCCAUGUUUGACAUAUUCAACAUAAAGCUCGUAUAACUCACCCUUAAUCUUUUUAAACUUGUCUUAACUAGUGUUAGGAUCGAUUUUUUUAUAUGCAAAAUUCAAAAAGUUUAGUUUUUUUGUUGGAUAAAAAAUAGCACCAAAGGUCAAGAUAAUUCUACUCACUUCAAUACUUGUCAAAAUUUCCCCUCAUUUUUGUAGCCAUGUCUUGAAUCAACGAAUCUUCACUUAUUAAAUAAGAAUUCAAAAAACACUUUAUCUUCCAUAUUUCCCCAAAGUACAAAUUAAAAGUAGGAUAAGAAGUUCCAGAGAUCAAGUUUGUAAUAUUAUAGAAUGGCUUCAAGAGUUCACACAUUAUUUCAGAUCUUGCUCACUCUUCACUUGAAGGACAAUACUUAAAAUUUGAAUAUCGCAAACCUAAGCUAUAAAAGGCACGACGAUAAUUAACCGCACUUUUGAGCAUUAUAAAAGUUGAGUUCAAUCUAAUAACACAAUCAUAUCUAAUCCAAGUGUUGUAUCAAUCUCAUCAGCAUUACUAACACAUUCAUGAACUUGUAGUGUUAUACUUUCGGUUACCUAUACAUAAGCCACAUUUUGUCAAGUUUUAUGCAAUGCAUCACCAACUACCUUCAAUCCAUCUUGAACAAUGAGAUUCAAAAUAUGCGCGCAACAUCGGAUAUGAAAGAACUUUAAAUUAAAUAACAAGCUACUUGAUAAUCCUAAGUGUUCUUUCAAGAAUCUUUGAAUGUUGUCAUUUGCAGAGGCAUUGUCCAAAAUGAUGAAAAAAAUUCUUCUCUAUACCCAUAUCACUUAACAUUUCAAACACAUUCAAUGCUAAUUCUCGCUCAGUAUGUGGGGGUGUUGUUAGAUACCCAAAAGUGCUUAUUUGAGCUAUCAAAUAUGGGCAUCUUUCACUCCAUUUCCUUGCUAAAGUGUUCGAAACCACCUUUGUUUUAGAUGAAUUGCAAUACAAUGAUAAACGAUCUUAAAUAUGGGCAUCUUUCACUCCAUUUCCUUGCUAAAGUGUUCGAAACCACCUUUGUUUUAGAUGAAUUGCAAUACAAUGAUAAACGAUCUUGGUACCUUUGAUUUAUGUGUUAUUGUGCAGGAAUUAAGCAUGAAAUAAUAGAAAAUGAAGGCACAAGAAAGUUGGCAAAGGGACCAAAAAAGGAUGCAUUCAUCAGCUUGCUCGCUAGGCGAGGGCUGUGGCAAAGCGCUCGCUAGGCGAGCACCCAGUGAGCACCCAGCGAACAACUCCAGUAUUUUACAGUAGCAAACAUCAAUAAACUCGCUAGGCGAGCAGCCAGCGAAGGUGGUAGCGAAUACGUCCAGACUUGGUCAAAAGCGCAGCCAGCACUCACUCGCUAGGCGAGCCAUUGCAUGUGGGUGUAGAUUUGCAUGUACCUUAGAAGGAUGCCUUUCAUGAUAAAUCAUUUUGUUCUGAAAUAGACACCAUGAGACCUUGGGUUUUUCUGAAAUUUCAGUGUAAACAUUGCAGAACCCAAAAACCCGUAAGAUUCGCUAGCAACUCGCUAGGCGAAUCAGUGGCGAGCAUUCGCUGCCACUUCGCUAGGCGAACCUGUAGCGAAGCUUCGCUAGGUUCUCGCUAGGCGAAGCAGCAGCGACCAUGACAGUAGUUGGAAUUCUGUUUUGCUUUCUAAUCUGUUUUGUGUUUGUGUUAUUUCCUCUCUAUGUCUUUGCAGAUGGAAUCCAGGUCCGACGCUUCGAAAAAGAGAAAGGGCGGGAACACUUCCCGUCCCGUGCCCAUAUAAUUCGACACCGACAAAUUUUUCGGGCCAAAGCAAGCAGCUAGAUAUGUUACUUUGGAAAAGCGAAAGAUUUUGCCGGAAAAGAGAUUUAUAAUCAACCCUGAAGGCACGUACCGUACAUUCGCCGGGUUGAUUAACAGCAAAAAGUGGGACCGGUUGAUAUCUCCUUUGGAGCAUUAUGACAUCGCAACAGUGCGGGAGUUCUACGCGAACGCACUGCCGAACGACGACGAGCCAUUCACAUGGACGUCUAGAGUGUCCGGCCGUCCUGUUGCGUUCAAUCGGGAUGCAAUUAACCGUGUCCUGGGUGAACCGCUCCAUCUGGGAGCCAAUGAGAGAGACACUUACCAUAGAGAUUUAAGGCUUCACCGGGAUACCGAUUCAAUUUCUGCUGCCCUACUUUUGGAAGGGAAAUCAGUUGAGCUGAACCCAUCUGGGGUUCCGAUGAGGUACCAUAGGGAGGACAUGAUUCCCUUGGCUCAACUGAUCCUUUUGUUGGUUCUUACAAACAUUAAACCCAAGUCUCAUACUUCUACCGUGCCGAUCCCAGUGGCACACUUGGUUCACUGCAUCCUCACGAAUAUCCAGAUUGAUGUGGCGAGGAUUAUUGCUUUGGAGUUUGGAAGUUGAAGUCCGUGAUUUGGAAAACGGGCUUUAAAGGUCGGGGAGCAGCGAGUGAAUUGUGCCGGCCCUUGCUUGUCCCAGGUGUCUAAUACAUGGGCUUUUGUGGGCCAACGAAGCGAGGGGGGUUUGAAGGCGGGCCUGACCCCGUUCCCCCCAAGGGUCGAGGUAGGAAAUCCCGACCGUGCCCCGACCGGCACAUUGAUGACAGAUACGUGGGCGCUAGUACUGCAAAACCGAGAAUUUAAAGAAAGUAGUGUCAGCUGCUGAGGUUACCGGGGCUUUCUGAUGGUCCUGGUACUUUUACUCCGCAUAGGGGUCCCGAUCCUUUCCCCAGGCAGGCUGUCUGAAGCUGACAGACUGGGGAUUAGGUGGCGGCAACUCAACGGCGACGCAAAUGCUCGAUCAUGCACAAUUCUAUGCAGCUGUUACAGGUUUUGCAGAGUGCGCGACCCCUGCCGGUGAGGCAAAUUCUGAAUGAUGACGUGGAGCAAGUGUUCUCUGCAGCACGUAGUUUGGGCGCUGUGGACAGGCCUGUGUUGUGGAGUAGGGGGCGGGUUGGCUGGUGCCAGACUGGUGCUGGUGCCUUCCCUUCGUGGUGGCUUGGCUGAAGAUAAUGAUGAUGAUGAUGCUACCGGUUCUGAAGGACGGUAGUGAUGAGGUUAUGAGUCUUAAGGAGGGCUAGUUUAAUUUUAUUUUUCAUAUUAUGUUUUAUUUCUAUUGUAUUUUCAAAGAUUUGUGUUUUUGAUUUUUGGUGGUAUCGUACUUUUGGGGUGUUUUGUCGCCCAUGCACCAAUUUAUAAAUUUGAAAGUAGAUAGUUAUUAUUGUAUGUUUUAAAAUUUCUUUUUGUUUUAUAAAUUUGUUGGUAUGGUUGAGGUGUCAACGCUUUCUAGGAGAUUGGCAUGUAGGCUUCCUUCAAGAGAAGUUAUCCCAAGUGAAGGUGCAUCCGAAGGCUUUGGAUCGGCAUGAUAAAUACCAAAGUGAAUAAUGGCUAAGGUACAUGGUUACCUCCGGCUAGAAUGAUAUUAGAAUGCAUUAAGAACUUUAUCUGUUUUUUUGAUAUUGAAUAUUGUUCUUUGUUGCAACAUAGGAUUGAGAGAAUGGAAUGGUUUCAAUCUGAGGACUUAAAAGCACAAAUUGUGGAGGAAGACCUCAUUUAGUCCCUUAGAAUGCUGGAUUCUAAUAAGCUUUGUUGGAAUUUCAUUUUGAUUCAGAAUGCUUUGGUCUUUUAUUAUUGUGGAAUGAUGUGGAAGAAUUAGAAAUGUAUCAAGGCACUUGUUUUGCUAUCGAGCACACCAGUUCACUACAACUUACCUGUGAGCAGAGAGAGUAUUCGUUAAACAGCCGUUUGAGCUUAAACAGUUGAAUUCUCACUUGAAAUAACCGCGAGAUUUCAAAAAUCUUUUUUUUUUAAAGCCCGGAACAAUUCUUGAUAAUUGUUCUUUGCCGUAAAAAGGUCAAGAGCAUUCACUUAGGGUGAGUAAGAAUAAGUUGGGGGAGCACGAAAAGUGAGAAUGCGGUAAGGUGCCACAACCGUCUGUGAAAACCGAGGCAAGGCAUUAAAAAAAAUAAUGAUAUAUAUAAAGAUAAUAGAAAAGAGAAACAGUUUGUUUUGUGGUAAAUAUGAUGUGAAAGAAAAAAAAAAUAGCGAGUGAAAAAUGAAUGCUUGCUUGGAGAAAAUAGUGAAAAAACAAAAAAUGUGAGUUGUGAAAUAGAGAGUUUGUGAAAGGGUUCAAAUAGAAAGCAAAAUGGAACGCAAGUUGAGAUGGUUGUGAAUGAUGUGAGCACGUGGGAAUGUCUCUUUUGGCAUCGGCUAAAUUUCGUUUUCCACUGGCCUUAAGAAAUGGACGCCUUGUUUGUUUAACACUUAAGCCGAGGCUUCAACCGAAAGUCCUUAGUGAAGUCUUCGUGGGCUUGUCCACAUGACCGGAUAUUAAUAAUUGUUAAGACAUUGUAUAAAUUGGAGAUUGAUUUCCUCUUCAUUGUUUUGUUGGAGAGUGGAUUAUUCCGCCGGGCGGUUGCAAACGCGUAAUUUCUUCAUCCUUAUUCGAAGAGGAGAGAAUAGGGGUGAUUCAUGUCAAGAGUAGAUCUGUUUGUGGUAGAUAGCCAGUUAUGUCGCAUUGCUGAUUAAGUUAGUUCUUGUGUAUUAUGCUAAUUCUAAAACUGUUGGAAAUUUGUAUCUGCUGAUUCGCUGUGUUGUGAGUCGUUUUUAAGUUCCGACUUCGGAGAAACCUUUUUCCUUAAAGCGAAAUCCUCUUGGUCCUUCGGGCAUACUUUGCUUGAGGACAAGCAGCAUCUAGUUGGGGAGAGUUGUUAGAUACCCAAAGUUCUUAUUUGAGCUAUGCAAUAUGGGCAUCUUUCACUGAGUUCAAUUUCCUUGCUAAGUGUUCGAAACGCACCUUUGUUUUAGAUGAAUUGCAAUACAAUGAUAAACGAUCUUGGUACAUUUAUUUGUGUGGUUAUUGUGCAGGAAUUAGGCAUGAAGAUGAUAGAGAAAUGGAAGGCACAAGAAGUUGGCAGGGACGCAAAAAAGGUGCAUGUCAUCAAGCUUGGCCCGUCGCUAGGCGAGGGCUGUGGCGGCGCUGCGCUAGGCGAGCACGCGCAGGCGACAGGCUCCAGUGAGUUUUACAGGUAGGCGAGGACAUCAACAACCCCGGCUAGGCGAGCAGCGCAGCGAAGGUGGUAGCGCAUACGUUCCAGACUUGGUCAAGAAAGCGGCAACAAGCACUCCACCUCAGCUGAGGGCAGACGCUUAGAAGCUCGCCGCGAGAGAAUUCCAGUAGCCAAAGGAACCCCUAGCUCGGCUGGACAGGCGGAGGUUGAGCGUGGCUUCGUCUAGCGAGAGGUUUUGUUCGCCUAGCGAACAUGGCAAUCUGGCAAGGAUAUUUCUUUGGGCGCAGAGUGCCUCAGGUGCCUCAUUUUGGGGCUGCGGCUGGCGACGAGGGCAGAAGUGGUCGCUAGCGAGCCGCAAUAAUGAGGCAGCGCUGAGGCACUGCGCCAAGAAAUAUCUUAUAGGCCAGAUUUGCAUUGUUGCUAGGCGACAAAACCUUCGACUAGGAAGCCCACGCUUCACCUUGCGCUCCAGGCGAGGCUUAGGAGGUGUGUUUGGCUAAUGUUUCCGGCGUGGGGCUCUCGUAAUGGCUCGCCUAGCGAGGUGGUGCAUGGUUGCGCUUUUGACCAGUAUCUGGACUUUCCGCUAACUCGCUGGCUUGCUCGCAGCGAGUUUUUGAUGUUUGCUACUGUAAAUACUGGAGUGCGCUGGUUCCUGGGUGCUCGCCUAGCGAGCGCCUUUCGCCACGCGCGGCCCGGCGCUAGCGAGCAAGCUGAUGAAUGCUAUUCCUUUUUGGUCCUUUGCCAGACUUAUCUUGUGCGUCAUUUUCUGAUUAUUUCAUGCUCUAAUGUCCUGCCACAUAACACACGAAUCAAAGUACGCAGAUCGUUUAUCAUUGUAGUUGCAUUCAUCUCAAACAAAGAGUGCGUUUCGACACAUUUCGCAAUGGAGUGAAAGAUGCCAAUAUUUGUAGCUCAAAUAAGCUUUUGGGUAUCUAGACCAACGGUCUCCCAGCUGAGAUUCUUUGCUUGUUCCCAGCAGUAUGGCUCUUGGAAGGAGCAGAGGAUUUGCUUUAAGAAAAGUUUCGUUGCGCGAGGAGUGCGGAUAAAACGACUCACACAAGCGCGGAAGUCAGCAGAUACCACAAUUUAUCAAGCAGUUAGAAUACGCAUAAGUACACAGAACUAACUUAAUUAGCAAUGCGGAUAUGUAGUCUAUCGCCAACAAAUAUUAUGCUUCGAUGAUCCACCCUAUCUGCUCCUGCUUCGAUAAGGGAUUGAAGAAAUUACGCGUUGGCCAACCGCGGGAGAUAAUCUCACUGCUCGCAACAACAUGAAAGAAAUGCAAUUCAAUUUAAUACAGUGGUCUAUCAAUUAUAAAUCGGUAAUGUGGAAGACGAAGAUCACUAAGGACUUUUUUUGGUUGAAGCUGCGUUAGGUUAACAAAAGGGUCAUUUCUAGGCCAUUGAAAACGAAUUGCGAUGCAAGAGACAAUUCAACUGUACAUUAUUGCACACAUCUGCAACUUCGUUCCAUAUUGUUUGCGUUAUUUGAAACCUUUCANCUCGCUAGGCGAGCACCCAGCGAACAGCUCCAGUAUUUUACAGUAGCAAACAUCAACAAACUCGCUAGGCGAGCAGCCAGCGAAGGUGGUAGCGAAUACGUCCAGACUUGGUCAAAAGCGCAACCAGCACUCACUCGCUAGGCGAGCCAUUAGAGAGCUCCCAGCGAGAAAUUCCAGUAGCAAAACCUCCUAAGCUCGCUGGAGCGAAGGUUGAAGCGUGGGCUUCGUCUAGCGAAGGUUUUGUUCGCCUAGCGAACAUGCAAAUCUGGCAAAGGAUAUUUCUUUGGGCGCAGGUGCCUCAGGUGCCUCAUUUUGGGGCUCGCUAGGCGAGCCAUUCUGCUCGCCUAGUGAGAAUGACAACUCAGUAGCAGCACUAUAAGUAGCAGGGGCUACUUUUUGGAGCCAUACCUUACACUUUCAUACUUUUGUACUUUUGAGAUAUUUUUCCAGCAUUGCUCUAGAGAUACUUUGUGACCUAGAAAUCAUUUUUCUUCAUCUCUUAACAAUCUUUCACAAAAAGAAGGUGGAUUCCCAUCCAAUCUCGAUUAUUCGACUCGGAUGUUGAUCAACCUUCUUCCGAAACUUGUUGACCAAGCUACCAUGAAAAUGAGUAGCUAAGUUCUUCAUUUUGUCAAGGUUAGAUGUAGAUGGUCAUAAGCUUUGUGUGUAUAUGAGAUGAUCUUCAUUUGUAAACUCUUUAAUGAUGAAUAUAUGGUGAAAACUUUGUUUUAUUGAAAACUCUUUGUGUUGGUUUAUGAUCGAGAGAUGUUUACCAACUCUUUACCUAGGUUUUCAUCCAAUCUUGUUUGUUAGCUAGAGAUAGUAAUGAAUGAUUUUGUUCACCAUAAGGUUGAACCAAAAAGUUGUCAUUUUGAUAGAUUGUGUUAGAGAUAAACAAUGGAUCAAAAUGGGAAAACUCACAAUGUGUGUUAGAGAUAAACACAUUGGGAGGACUUUGUGAAAUAGUUUAUCAUCUAAAGGAGUUUAUAAGUUUUGUUGAUCGAACAUAUACAUGCAAAGUGAUCGUCGAACCCUAACUUUGGCAAUAUUUCUCAAAUAUUAAAACCAAAUCUUUUACCGCAUUUUCUCACACUUUUAUGCAAGAUACCGUGACUAAAGCCAAAACCCCCUUGUUACUACGAGUUAAGAAUUGAAACAACUGUCGAACGGCGGCGAUAUCUCACAAUCCCUGUGGAGACGAUAACAAAAACCCGACACUUAAAAACACAAUCAACAGGUGUCAUGUGAGCAAAUUCUAAAAUCUUAUUUUGCAACUUCCAGUUCACAUCAAUAUAAUGAGUAGUUAAAGAAAUAUAACCUUCAUUAGUGCAUGUAGUCAACCAAUCAGAAGUCAAACAAACUAUCCCCCUUAUUUGAGUCAAUUGUGACUUAAGCUUUCGUUUCUCAUCCUCAUAAGUUUUCACAACAUCGUUGGAAAAAGUAUUUCUAGUAACAAAGGUACAAUCAUCAUUCAAUUUUUUUAUAUUUCUUAAAAACCCUAUAUUUAACAAAAUUAUACAGUACACCGUGUGUAAUCAUGAUUUUAGCUAAGAUCUCACGGUUAACCUUAGGAUCAAUUUUUUUUAUUUCUCAUCUUCCUUCAGCAUCAAGCAUCAUAUCACUCACAUCAUGAAAUUUUGGGAUAAACUUACAACUGUUAACAUGACGGGUUAAAUGUGAAGUUCCAUUAGUUGCAGCACAACUUAUUAAUUUUCCAUAACACUUGCAUUUACAUUUUUUCUCUUUACCAUCUACAGCCCCAACCUUUAAAAAAUGUUUAGACACUUCAGAUGUAAAAGGUCUUUUGUUUUUUAGUAGUUGGUUCAAAAGACUCUUCUUGGUUAAUCUCAAUGUCAUCAAGAUCAAUUACAUUAAAUGGAGAAAAUAGUGGUACAAGUGGAGUUGCCCUAAGUUGUCUAGCAUUAACCUCCCCAUUACUACUAAUUUACAUAAUAAGAGUAGACACAAAUUGAAAUUAUGUUCCUCAAGGGACAGAUGUCGAAAACGAUGCUCCAACAACAGGUUCAAUAAGUUAAACCAGGACUAACACAAUAGAAAAUACUGGAUGAUGAAGCAGAAAAACAAUAAAUCACAUGAUAGUUGUUUACCUAGUUCGGUGAAACCUCACACCCAAGAAAGUAAAUUCACUACUAUUAGUUUAGUACAUUUAGUUUUGUAAGCAACAACAAAUCCUAUGUUGUUCAAUGCCUCUUCUAACACUACCCAAUGACUUUCUAUUUAAAGUUUCCCCAAAAUAUGAGAACUUACUCUCUUUCUUCUCAAUCACACAACUCAUGAUUGGAGAUUACAACUCAAUAAUCAAUGUUGUAUACUACCACUCAACUCUAGACAAACCUUUUAUGUCAAGUUACUGAAACAUAGAGGUGUACAUACAACAAUAACAAGGACUCAAAAAUAAACCCUAACACUCUAAAUCUUCAAUGUAUUGCCUGCUUCCAAUGUAGGUUUUGAGCUCCUUAUAUAGCAUAAUAACCCUGGGAUUUUCUUCAUGGAUUUGAGAUUGAUUUCAUCCAAAAUUAAUGUAGAAUUUGUUGAAUAUUUGAUUUGUUCCUCGAAUAUAUCCAACAAGAUAUGAUUUAUUUUAAUUUAAGUUCAAAUUUAAAUCUUCAUUUAAAUAUGAAUCAAUUCGUCCAACUGUCAAACAAAUCACCUAAUCAUAUUUCUAAGUCAAUUAGCAAUAAAAUAAAAUUGAAUCCUCUCAAAAGAUUCAUGCAGAAUGCAAGAACGCAACAUUCUGGAGAUUGUUAAGUAAGGCCCAAAUGUCAUACCAGUAUGCUGGAGCAUCGCGUCUAAGAUGUGUUUCUUUUACAGCUUAAGCAAACUAGACCAAUCUUGAAUAACUGGACGUUUCUCCAUGUUGUUUAUUUUCUAAAUGCAGUCAAUGCAAAGAGCAUAUCCAAUAGGAAUUGCACCAAUUAUAAUCCCUACAUGCAAAUCAACACAAUAAUAACAACAAGCAUCAAAUUCAGAUCAACAUAAAAUUAUCCCUACUAUUUCUAUAAAAUCAACACAUAGUCACAUCACCACAAUCCUGUUUUAUGAAAUAAACGCAAAGUCACCCGUUUUGUAAAAUCACAACAACAAUCACAAAGUAUGGUUUUAUGAAAUAGACACAGAGCCACUGGUUUUGUAAAAUCACGACAAUAAUCACAAAGUCUGGUUUUGUAAAAUCACAACAACAAUCAAAAGAAUCACAAUAGCUUGUAAAACAUUUGGUUUUGUAAAAUUAAAGUUGAUUCACAGAAAAUACCACAAUAUAAUCACAAUAACAUCAAUCACAGAUUCACGUAAAACAAUUACCGAAAAAGAAGAAUUGAAGAUGAGUCACGACUCACAAGUUCCUUUCGCAUACACAGUCACAAAGAAUUGAGGUUCCUUUCAUAGACGCAUUCACAACUCGCAAGUCAUAAAAGAGAGACAAGGUCUCAACUCAUGAACGUGCGCGCGCGCGCGCGAGAGAGAGAGAGAGAGAGAGAGAGAGAGAGAGAGAGAGAGAUGCAAUUGUUGCACAAGUCAAUCACUCUGAUUCACGAAACACAACAGAAGAGAAACAAUUGAGCUAUGUCUUUUUUAUCGAAACAUAGCAGAAGAGAAACAAUAAUUGAGCUAGGUCUUUUUCUCAAUUCUUUUUUAAGACUUGGACUUGGACUGUAAAGUCUGAGUCUUUCAAGUUGUAAUUGGGUUAGUAUGGGCCUUAUACUAGAGAUUAGAUAGAUUUUGGCCCAAUUGUUUUUUUUCUUUGUUGAAUGUUUAUUGUGGGCUAACUAUAUUAAAUUUUUCAAAGUUUUUUUUCCGGGUUGUGGGCUGCUUAUAACCCAUACGGUCUGCCCCAUAUUCUUUAAGACUUUUUCAGGUCAGGCUAGCAAAGGCCCGAAAAAAAUGGGCUAAACAAUUAAGGCUCAAGCCCUAACUUUUUUGGGGCUUGAUGGGCCGGCCCAUGGCCUUCAGCCCAUUUUGACGACUCUACCAUGACUUGAGUGCAAAAUCAUAACGCGUAGCUGCCAGGCUAAAACCGAUAGCAUGUAUGAUAUUUCAACAACUAUGUAUAUGCAUUUAAUAUUUAAUAUUAUAUGAAACACUAUGGGUUAAAUUUUGAGGCCUCCAUUUUUCUAAGGCCCUGUAAAAUGGGUCAGGUUGCAUAGGCCCAAAAUCGGCUCUGCUAUAAACCCUAAAACACUUAAGACAAUUAGCGAAGAAGAAAUGAGAAACAGUAAGAUGGAAAUUGAGUACCUUAAACUCUGAUUUAGAAGUUUUAUACAUUUGUUCUAGAAUAAGCAUUGUGGGCUUUGGUAAUCUUUGUCGAUGUUAAAGGCGUUGUCUCAACCUUGUCUUUGUAUUGGUUGUUGGAAUUAAUUUGGGUCAUGGUUUGAGUUUGGCCCAAUCCAAAACCUUAUGCAUGCUAAUAUUUGUGAGCUUGUUUUUGUUAUGCUUUCUUGUUUUUAAGCCUUUAUGGCCAUUAUUUUGAAACAACCUCUCAUAUUUUUAUCCAAAGAGGAUGACUCAUUUGAUUGGUUUGUUGACGUGUCUUAAGGAAAAUUGGGUUGUUCCUCCAGACUUCAUUUUGAAAGGACCUUUGGUUAGGACCCAUUUACUUAAAGAUUAAGUUCUUUGGUCAGUUUUCUACCUCCAUUCAAACUGAUGGGUUGGUGGGAAAGACCGGUUUGGUGGAUAACAAUGACCUUGUUUGGGGUUUCAAAUGAAGGAGGCCCUUCUUUCUUGAGAGUUACAUAUGUUUGAUAAUCUUCUCUCUCUACUUUAAGGUGUUACUCUCUCUCUCUCUCUCUCUGAAUAAAGAUAAGUGGAUUUUAAAAGCAUUCAAGAUAAGGAUUUUUCUUUAUUGCCUUUCCUUACUAUUCAAUCAGUUGGUUCUUUGACAUCUCUUACGACAUAGAGCUUGAUCAUUUCCCUUAUUUGGGUUAGUUAGGCUCCUUCUAAGGUGUUGGUAUUCUCCUGAUAACUUUUGCAAGAUAGACUCCAUUCUAGAGAGAACUUAUCUAAAAUGAAGUGAAUGUUGAUCCUAGUGGGAUCUCUUGUCCCUUUUGUAGGGAUUCUGUUGAGUCAGUCUCCCAUCAUCUUGUCACUUGCGAUUUAAUCUUGUAUGUGUGGUAUAUGAUCUUCCAGUGGUUGGGUUAAGAGGUGGUACUUCCAAUAUACCACAUGUUUCUUUUUAAGACUUUCCUUUCUUUAGGGGUAAGGCCAAGUCUAUGGGUGAUUUUGUUAUGAUUUUGUAGUCAAGAUCAACAUUUAUUCAACUCUUUUCAUUUCAGUUUCCUCUGUGGAGCUAGAGUAUCCAUUUAUGAUUCCCGAACAGAACACCGUAUCGGAGGCUACAAUCAUUUGUGUCCUCCACUAAACUAUUCAUUUAUGGUUCCUGAAUGAAAUAGUGGCGCCGUCUAUGGGAAUUGACUUUUGAUUCCUACGAUUUCAUGAACAUUAUCGAACAAACUAUACAGUUCCGGAUCUUGAUUCUUGCGAUUCAGAUUUGAAUCUUCUAUUUACUAGUUCUGAACCUCCUUAGGUUACCGAAUCAAGAGCGCACCAGCCUCUGAUUUAUACGUUUUCCAUAAAUCGGCAUUCAUUUUUUGUCUUCAUCGUUGAUAACUUCCUCAAAUCUCAUAAUCGAAAAACGCUAGGUUACGAAGACCAGAGGUCCACCAAGCAUAUUUGAAGAAAAAUACCCCAGACUCUAGUCACGAGGAGACCAAUCGAUAUCAAUCUCUGCCCACUACUUAGAGUCCUUGUUCCAAAGAAAACACUAGAAUGGCCUAUUAAGGGACACCGUUUGCAUCCUACCAUGAUUCUAGUAUGAUAAAAUUCGACUAUUAGGCCAUAUUUACCACAAGCGCACCCCAAAUAUAUAAGAGGUAGAUAACCAUUAUGGGGUAGGAAAAGAAGCCACUGACUCUAAACACGGUGAUAAAAAAUUGUCUUGCCAAAGCAUUAGAUAGAGAAAUUCAAGGAGUUUAAAAAUCAAUAGCUGACAUCAAGAUACCUCCCAUGAGAAGUUGAUCCUCCAACAACAUAGACAAGCAAAUGCAAGGCAAGGCAAGACACCUUGAAUACAGUUUAACCGAUGAGGACGCUUUAAAGCAUGACGUGCAUCCAUAUUGGAAACUCGAUAAAGGCAACGACCAAAGACUCAAGACGCCUUCCGACCACGUCGAGAUCACCAUUAAGGGUUAUCCAUCCUGAUCGUUCUUUAUUUUUUUGUAGUAAAUUUAGGAACAAACUUAAAAAGAUCAAGUGCUUUAGCAGAAAUUACAGCAUCAAGGAAGAACUUCCUUCCAUGCUCCACAAAUCUCUCAUGACUCCAAUCAUGUUCUCGAUUGUCUGCUUAAGAGAGUUAUGAAGCACCUGUCUCAGAUCGACAAAUUCAUCCUAGAGAACUUUUAAGGCCUUAGUCGCUUGAACAAAGGCUUUCCGAUAGUUUUCCACCUGGCUAGCCUUUUCCUCAACAGGAUCAGAAGCGACCUUGUAUCACUUAUAUUCAUCUCAGAGAGAAACCUUAUGUUUAGUUACACGAGCCAUCAUGGUAGAAGAGGAGCCAUGAACUUUCACUACCUUUUAAAAUAUUUAGCAACUUUAACUUCCCCUGCAACGCAAUAGGCUCCUUUUGAUGAUUAGUGCACUUAAGAUCCAUAGCUUUGAAAUUCCCCUUUCAUUAUCCCUUUCCUUGAAAGGACUACAUAGGGCCAAGACAUCACCCUGUCUAGAAGAGAUGAGAGAAAAAAUAGAAGCAACUUUGGACAUGCUAUAGGAAAUUUCAUAGGUCAUUUCCAUCUCAUCCCCCUCAGAGAGAUUCUGGACGAAGGAUAAAUACAAUGUCGAAACAAUAUCAGGAGCCUCCCCAAGAGUGCACAAAAGCCUAGAAGAGAAGAUAUUUGGUAUCUUUAUAAAAGGAGUCACCUCCUCGGAAGCAUUGCCCUUAGCGACCUGAGUCCGUUUCAGAGAACACUUAAUCCAAAGAGAUUAUUGUUCCUCCUCCCGAACCCUCUCGGUUGAAGCUGGAGGCGAUGUUGGUUCCUCCGUCGUCAAAGUGGCCUUAACAUACACAACAUGAUCCACCACGGACAAAGGAGCUAGCGCUUCUACAAGUAGGGUAGGAUAAGGAUCAACAACCACCAAAGGAGUGAGGGCAGAAGUACCAAUAUUCACCACAUCCCAAAUACAUUGGGCAUUUACAAGGCGGUAGAACAUGUUCAACUGGCUUAUCUUUUCCAUGCUAUAUACAAAAUGCAACCGCACAUGUAAAAAAAGAAGCAUGAAAACUCCACCUCGCUAAAGAUCUCCCUCAUUUCCUUAAGAGUAACUGCACUCAAGAUAACAUGAGUAUCAACUUGCUUUUUCCUCACUUUGGUAGGGGCACAUUACCAGGGUUGAACCCUUCCUCAUAACCAAGUACAUGAAACCAAGAUUGCAUUUCCUCCUUCAUUGUCACCUUGUCCGAAGAAAGAGAGCCCGACUGGAUACAAUAGGAGUCAACAAUCUGAUUUAAGUGGAUCUCAAACUAGUACUUCAAAUACGAAAUCAGACAGUAUAAAGGAGAAUCGCCAGGGAUAUAACAAAAAAUAAAGUGAGCUAUAGGGCGUGAAGGGCUUCACCAAUGUGAAACAUCCUAGGAAGUCACCCUAAUCCAGAGUAAAAGGAUGGAAGCGAGGGAAGACCAACUAAAGGUGAAGAAUGCAGUGAUUGAGAAAGUUAUCAAGGGAAGUAUACCUCAGACGGAAAAGAUUGAAAAAUAAGCUGAGAGAGGGCUUCCAGGGUUUAUACUCAACACAUAGUUGGAAGACUCUCACUUAUGCCCAUGAACUCGAAUGAAACUGUGGAUGGGAAAUCUUCAAAUGGUUCAAGACGACUAGCUCAAAUUCAGAAAAGGGCACCCGAAGUCUUAUUCUCGUAAAUAUAUACUCGUUGAAAUGAACCAUGUAGUCGUCAAAAGAGUUGCACAUCCUCUUCCCCUACGACAUAAGAAAUACCAACCAUUCCGAAGGAUUGCCAACCACAAUGUCAUCAUCACACAGGGUGGCCUCAGUGCUCAGAUCUGAAGAGAUGUAUGCCACUAUUGCAUCUAUCCAGUCAAACUCCAACGCAAACGGCAGACAUCAACGUUACUAGGCUCACAACCAAUGGUCUGAAGGCAAACUCAGAUAAAAUAUCUGGAAAGUUCCCUCAUUUGUAAGCCAACCCUAAUCUUCUCCUCUGACUAGACGUGAGGGGGCAUAGGGACCUCAGAGUGAGUUAUUCUCCCACCAAUAUUUGAUAGGGUGUCUAACGACCUAUAAGAAGAAGUUUCUUCCUCAAAGGAAGUCUCAAACAUCCCUUCUGACCCAUAAUUGUCAGAUAUGAAUAGAAAUUUUGGUCCUACGUGACCAAUACUAAGAGAAGGGUGAGGAGAAUUAGGGGAUGACCUAGAUGAAGUAUUAAAUUCCAAAUCACCCAUUAAAUCGAUAGUGUUAUGAAUCAUUCUAACUAAGGAAAUACUGAAGGAAAAUCUUGAGUUAGAAGGGCACCUGGUUAGAAGAAAUUGAUGAAGCAUGAGGAAUGAAAAAGACAAAAACUUUAAGUGAAGCUCUGAGUCAUUUCUAGUGACAUUCUUAGGAAAAAAGAACAAAAACGUUUCUCUAAAAAAUAACUGUAAGCAUAAAAGCUAAAAAGUUGCGAAAACUUCCAAAUAUUUAACUCACUUUAUUUAUAAGUAGCGACAACUGAAAAAUCAAGACCAACUAUGAAAAGAAAUCAUGAAAUCAACGACUAGAUCUCCACUCAUGGAUACAUGCCAAACUCAAGUACUCUAUAAACUACGCCACACCCUAUAGUUUGUCACUUCAUCUCACGUGUCAGGAAUGAGUGACGAAGCAUCUCGUCGAUGAGACCACAUUAAAUGCGCUUGUUCCCCAUUACUUUUUCAAAAUUGAUUUCAAGCUAUGCGGUUCUAUUUCACAUCGGAACACGACAUGGAGGUCGGUAAAUGAUACUUAAGACUUCCCCUACAUCCUUCAAUUCUUGGCAAAGCCUUGAGGGAAACUGUUCUAAAUUGGCCAAAUGCCUUGAGGACAAAUGUUCUGAACCGGCCAAAUGCCUAAUGGGUCAAGGCCCAAUCCAUCUCAAAUCCAAUCUACUCAAUCCAAAGCAUAAAAAUAGUUCAAACGCAGAAACAAGACACACAAUCUCUAAUCUCCAGUUUCAUUAUACUCAUCUUGAACCUUAAACUGACUUGGAUGUUAGAGUGUUAAUCAUGCAGGUUUACCUUGUGUCUUCGUAAAGGAUAUUAGAGCCACUGCUCAAGAUCAACAAUUGUUCAACUCUCUUCAUUUUUUAUUCCUCAAUGGAGUUAGAAUAUCCAUUUUUGGUUCCCGAACAGAACAUCGCUUCGGAGGCUACGAUCAACCACCUUUUCCGUUCAACUUCUUAUUUCUGAUCACUGACAAAAUUUCAUAUGAGACUUUAGUGAGUUCACAUGCAUGAAUCCAAUCAUCAAUGACACAUCAACAUAAAUUAAUCUUAUAAACCUUAAAAUUGAGAGAUCAAAUUAAAAAUAAAUUAAAAUUACAAGAUUAAAAUAAAAAAAAUUAUUGUAAUAACUAAAAUUCAAAUCUUCUAUUUGCAUGAAUAAUUUGCAUAAUUAAGUUAUUCAACUAUAUUUUAUAUUUAUAAAAAAUAUUAAAAUUAAAUAAUAUUAUCUAUGAUCCUAUAUAAAAAUUAUUUUUUAAAUUCAUCGAAUAAUUCGCAUAUCCAAACUAUAUAAUGGGUCGAGUAAAUUAAUUAUUAAUAAAUUUAAAAAAUCAUUUUUUUUAUAAAUAAAACCAGAAAAAGUAUAUAUAUAACCGAAAAAACUACAUACUUUUUAAAUAAAAAAUAAACUAUAUUAAAGUUUUUAUUUAUUUAUAAAACAAAAUAUUAAUAACUAUUUAAAAGUCACACAUAAUCCUAAAAGUCAUAUCUUGUGUUAAAAGUUUAACCUAACACAGCUAAAAUAUAUUUUUUAAGCUAGCAAUAUCUGUUUUAAUUUUUUUCUUUUGUUUUCAAUUUGAGCUAAGAUUUACAUAAAAGUAUGUUGAAGUUUUAGAACAACUAUUGAAGCAUGUGUGUAUAUAACAAGAAGAAUAAUAACUCCAGCUAUCUUCCAUUUUGUAAUCUUCACUCCUCUCUCUAACUCUAACCUCCUUCUCCAUUUUUCACCACUCUCAUCUAAAACCUUCAGAUCAAUAUCUCAUUUUCUUAAAUGGCUUCUGUUUCAUAUGCACACACUUGAUUCAAAAUACUACAAAGUAAGCUUCAUUGUUUCCUCACUUUCAAUUAUCUCUUCAAUUUCAUUGUUUUUUGUUUGUUUGUUUGUGUUUGUUUGUGUAUGCUGAUUAAUGGAUUAUCAUAACCUAUUUUUGUUUCUUGUAAUGAGAAGAAUAACUGAUUUUGAUUUAUCUGUUGUUAUAGUGUUUUUUUUCUUCUUCUUACUGUUUAGGUUUUGUUGAUUUAUGCAAUCUUCUGACAUUGGUUAAGUACUGGAUCCAACAUGCGCUUUGAAAAAUCUUUAUAAUUUCUGUGUUUAUAUGCUUUUUCUUUGGUUACUUUGCUAUGGAAUUGAGUGUUUUUGCAUUUUGGGUUUGUGUAAUCUGUUGGGUAGAUAUUUGAAAGGGUUUCAUUUGUUUUGUUUAGGAUUAGAUGAUCUGUGAAAAAGUUUUGUUUUUUUAUGCUAUGGUGAAUUAUUUGAUUUUUUUUGUGUGUGACUGCUAUGUGUUUGUGAUUUUUACUGUGUGAAAAAUGGAGAUAAGUUGAUGCUUUGAUUGGAUUUUCAGAGUUUCAGCUGUAGUAAGAAUGUAAGAUGCAAGUACAGUGUUUGUGUCUGUUGUUUCUGAUUAUUGACAACGGAAUGGUUUUUAUGACUGGUGUUUAGUUUAGGGUUUAGGUUUUUUUAUGUUGUAGAUUUGAAAGAUUAAGCAUGUGUGGCAAUAUCUUGAAGUUCUUGCUUUUGGCCCUAAUCAGAAUUUGAUCCUGAAAUAGUAAAC
This 53330-nucleotide long non-coding RNA is filed under the name Lathyrus oleraceus (garden pea). Its description in RNAcentral is "Pisum sativum (pea) long non-coding RNA (PSAT_LNC009579)". The record is from RNAcentral. Lineage: Eukaryota; Viridiplantae; Streptophyta; Magnoliopsida; Fabales; Fabaceae.